RNAcentral lists this long non-coding RNA (62066 nucleotides) under Gossypium barbadense (sea-island cotton). Its description in RNAcentral is "long non-coding RNA (GBAR_LNC003565)". The stretch from base 11273 to 11409 matches the Rfam family "MIR7502 microRNA precursor family". The record is from RNAcentral. Lineage: Eukaryota; Viridiplantae; Streptophyta; Magnoliopsida; Malvales; Malvaceae.
UCAAAAUUAAGAUUCUUAUCUUAAACUCAGAAUCCACUAACAAACAUGUUAAGUAAGAUGCCAUCGAGGGGAAAUGAUAAACCAAAACAAUCAAAUACAAUGAAGAAUAAAUGGUGAACAUAAAGGAAUGACUGAAUUCUGGAAAAUAAUCAAAUACAAGUUCAUCGAAUUAUACCCCCCAAAAAAAAAACAAAAGUAUGAUAGUAAAACAGAAAAAGAAAAUAGAAGAGAAUAAUAACAAUAAAAAGCCACAAACUAGCAGCAGUAGCAGCGGCGCCGGCGGCUGCCAUUGUAAGCCUGGAAAAUUAUGGUUCUGAAAUUUUCAUCUCUAUACAUACAACAUUCUCUGCAACCUAAUCUCUUUGUCCAUGCCAUUUUUAUUUCACAACUCCAAAUACCCAUAACAAUUUUCUACUAAAUAUAGAAUUCUCCUCUUUCAAACUCUCUCUCUCUUCUUUCCACCAUCUUCAAUAACAUUCAUUGAAGCGGUCAAACCUAUGGUAGACUUUUUUUUUUUGGUUAGAAUCUCUUCAAUGAGCGAUGAGAAUUGCUCCCCAAGAAGAAAGAAGAGUUUUUUUUUUGGAGAUAAUGAAAUGCAAAGAAUAAGAAAAAGAAGCCGUGAUGAUAGCCAAAUACAAUUUUGUGAACAUUUUUUUUUUGCCUUUUGUGGUUUGUGAAGAAGGUUAUGAGAGGAGGAAAUUUCUCAAAAGAAUCAAUAGAAAGGUGGCGGAGGAGGUGAAGCGUAUGACACUCCAAUUAUUGGUGGCAAUGGUCCCUCAUACACAGGAGCUGGAGGGGGUGACAGUGGUGGUGGUGGAGGUGAAUGGUAAAUAACUGAAGGUGGUGGUGGUGGUGGUGAGGAAUAUGUUACAACGGGUGGUGGUGGAGGUGAAUGGUAAAUAACUGAAGGUGGUGGUGGUGGUGGUGAGGAAUAUGUUACAACGGGUGGUGGUGGAGGCGAAUGGUAAAUAACUGGAGGCGGUGGUGGUGGUGGUGGUGAGGAAUAUGUUACAAAGGGUGGCGGUGGUGAAGGUGAUGGGGGCGGCUUGUAAUGAAUUGGGGGAGGUGGCGAUGGGGAUGGUGGUGGUGGCGAGUACUCUACGCAUGGUGGUGGUGGCGGUGGAGGAAGUUCUAUACAUGGUGGAGGUGAAGGUGGAGGUGGAGAGUGAACCGAAGGAGGUGGGUAAUAAACAGGGGGUGGCGGCGACGGUGGUGAUAAAUAUGGAUAAAUUGGUGGAGGGGAGUGGGGAGGCGGUGGUGGAGAACGUGGUGGGGGUGGGGGUGAAUGAUGUGGCGGUGGGGGUGAAUGAUGUGGUGGUGGAGGAGAGUUAUAGUAGUAAGGAACUGGUGGCGGCGGGGAGAACAAUAGAGGGGGUGGAGGUGGUGAAUUUGGUGGUGGAGGUGGGGACCUCACACAAUAUAUUGGCGCAGGUGGUGAGGGUGAAGGGGGCGGUGGUAACGGAUAAGUAGGUGGCGGGGGUGAAGGCGGUGGAGGUGAUGGAUAUGUAGGGGGUGGGGGUGAAGGAGGUGGAGGUGAUGGAUAUGUAGGGGGUGGGGGUGAAGGAGGUGGUGGUGAGGGCGGUGGAGGUGAUGGUGGUGGAGGAGGUGGAGAGUAAAUAGGCGGUGGUGGUGGCGGAGGCGAAGGAGGAGGAGGCGAGAGAGGUGGUGGGGGAGGUGAAUAAACUGGUGGUGGAGGGGGAGGGGGAGAAUAAACGGGUGGUGGGAGUGAAGGAGGGGGAGGCGGAGAGGAUACAAGGGGUGGAGAUGGUGGUAGUGAUGGUGGUGGCAAAGCAACAGGGGGAGAAGGGACCGGAAUUGGCGGAGACGGCGGAGGAGGGGAAGGCAAAGAAGGAACAAAAGGAGCACAUUUAAAUGAAUUGCAGUCCACUGGCCUAGACAAGAAAGACUUACACUGCGCCGCGCUUCUUUGUAAAGGUCUUGCAGGCAAGCAAUUUCUUCUAUCAUCAAAUGCACGUAAGUUCAAGCAAACCGGCGGCUCUCCAGUGAAGAAAUUGUACGAGAAUGUGAAGUUCUGCAACUUGGGUAAUUGACAAACACGGGCCGGAAUUUUUCCAGACAACAUAUUAUGAGCCACAUUCAGCUGCUCAAGGCUCACCAGUUCCCCAAUUUGGUCCGGCAAAGGACCCAUCAACUCAUUAAAGCUAACAUCAAAAACAGUCAAGUUCUUAAGAUUACCCACUUCUUCAGGCAAACAAGAUCUCAACCCAUUGUUCAUCAUAAUGAUUUCUUCAAGACCCGUCAUGUUACCAAGACUCGACGGCACACAUCCAUGGAACUUGUUGUUAGCCAACACAAUAACAGAAACUGGAGAGUUACCAAAGUUGUCCGGAAGGUUAAACCUGAAGCGAUUGUGGUUGAUGAAAAUGGCAUCCAAGUCCUUGUCGAACAGUUCUUUUGGCACGGUCCCUUCAAACUCAUUGAACCUCAAAUCCAAGAAUUUAAGUGAAGGCAGCUUGAGAACCACUUCAGGGAACUUACCAGCAAACCUGUUGUUGCUAAGAUCCAACUCGAACAGUCUCUUGAGCUUGAUAAACUUGUGUGGAACAGUACCACAAAAACGAUUAGAGUUGAUGUGGAACAAUGCAAGAUCAGUAAGUAAACCAAGCUCUUCCGGCAAGUACCCAGCAAUAUCACCAUGGUUUAGAUCAAUGCCAGCAACAGUAUUGAUUCUCUUGUUAUCAAGUGCACGAGCACAGAACACCCCAGUGUAAUUACAAACACUAGAUCCAACCCAGUCACCAGUGAGAUUGUAAGGGUCGGAUAGUAUUGCUUGUUUCAAAGCUUGUAAAGCUAUGUAAGCAUUUCUCUGCCUUGGGUUUUCAAACACAAGAGAUGGGUCGACAGUGACCUUUUCGCCUCUAUCGCCGAACUCAUCUCUGUAAUAGAGGAGCUGGCGUUGCUUGAUGUAUGAAACUUCCUUGUCCGUAAGACCUCCAUGACUAGUAAUGGAAUGCUGCUCCGACGAACAGAAGAGGGCGAACAAAAAGAGAAGUGAGAGAUGAAAAGAAUGGAAGUUGAUGAUAUUACUCUUCUUCUUCAUCUCACAUGAGACAUUUGAUUCAAAAAAUGCCACUUUUUUUGUGUGUUUUGUUUGGUUUUGGCUCUAGAAUUCUCACCCUCUAAAAGCUUCAAAAAAGCUUUGAGUGAUGUGGGUUCACUUUGAGAUCCAAGGGAAGAGAUAUGGAUUUUGGGGGGUUUGAGGAGAGAGACAAGGGGAUGAAAGGGUGUUUUUCUAGUAGGAAUUGUAGGGCAUGUGCUUGUGUGAGAGAAAUGAAAAUAACAAUAAUAAAAAGAAGGAGAAGAAAAAGAGACAAAGGGAUGAAAGGGUGUUUUUCUAGUAGGAAUUGUAGGGCAUGUGCUUGUGUAAGAGAAAGGAAAAAAACAAUAAUAAAAAGGAGGAGAAGAAAAAAAGAAAUAAUAAUUCACCAAAAAGACAACUAAAUCACAGCUCAAAGCCCACCAAAUUCUGUCAUUAUCAUCCCCCUAAUUUUCGUUCUUAUUAACUCGUUUGCAAGGCUGACUUUAUUCUUAAUUAAAGCCCAUACUCCAUUUCAAGCUCUAAUAAGCUUAAAUUAAAAGAAUAAACUCGUACAAUUAAUUUAAGGCAAAUUUUACCCAAAACGCAAAAGCGUGUCGAUGAAGGAGCCAAAGUUCCGACGAAAGGUUGACCAGAGAGACAUGGGGUGGGGUGGGUUGUUGAUAUCACAAGAUUAAAGUGAAAAUAUCACGAGUGAUUGGGAACAUAAAUUUUGGUGGUGGGAAAUCAAUGGUUUCAAUCCAAGUUUUUAAGCUUGGUGAUGGGGUUGUUUUGCUUCUUUUAUGUUGUCAACUCACGCACUAAAUUAAAUACCACUAACGCUCCAUCAAAUUACCUUUGUUUAUAUUUAUUUCUAUUUCAUUUUUUAAAAAUUAUCUCUUCCUAUUUUUUAUAAAAUAAUUAACAUCUAAAUAUUUUUUCAAUCUCUUUCAAUUUCAAAAACAAAUAAUUUUGUCGCUAUCAAAAUAAUCAAAGCAAUUUAAUUAUUCUCAAUUUUUAAAGUGAGUAAUUAAGGACGAAAUUAGAAAAUUUUUGAGGGGAUCAAAAUUAAAUUAUAUAUUUUUAUGAUAGUAAAAAUUUAAAUUUAUCAUUUUAAUAGUCUAUAUCUUUAUAAUUUUUAAAUAAUUAAAUCAAAUUUUUAUCAUUUUUAGAGGGAUCAAAGUAUAAUUUACCAUUAUAAAUUUAAAAUUUUAAAGGACCUAAAUGAAAAUUUUUCAUUUUAAAGGAGCCAGGGCACCUACCAACUUCACAUGGAUUCACCACCGUGAGGAACUAAGAACAAUUAAUUAAAGCAUUAAUGUUUCCCCAAUCAACUGUAUAUGUUUUUUAUUGGUAUAAUAAUAUGCAAACAUCAAAGGCUAAAUUUAUUAUUAUACUAAUUAUAAUCAUGUACAAAUGACGGAAAAUAUUAACGCCAUAAUUAAUUAUCCUUAAUUGUUUACUUUUGAGAUUGACAGGAAUCAAAUCCAUCUAACUUUUUUUUAAUAAAUUUACUAAAUUUCAAAAUUAAAAAGAAUUGGAGGAGUUUUUUACCAAUAAUAAUAUAUACUAUAUUUAAGUGUUGAUCAAAUUUAUGUCACCAAUCAAUCAAAUACAAAUUCAACUGAAAAAAAUAAAAAAUUGAUUUUUUUACAAAAUAACAAAUAUAAUAAUAUUUUUUUAUCUUUUCACGUAAAUCAAUAAAAAUAAACUUAAACCUAAAAUGCCAUAAUUUUCAAAACUCAACUUCACUAUAUGAGACAAAACUUCAAUUGUUUUUUUACAUACAAAAAGUUCACACACAUAACAAGUGUGGAGUAAAAUAUUUUUAAUUAUGCAAAUUUUAAUAUAUUAUCGUUUGGUGACUUUUUCACUUUUCAUGAGCAAUAAAUUUAGACUUUAUGUUGGUUCAGUUUCUCCAGCCCGCCAGUAUUCGGUGGCUUUAACACUUUUUAACUUAGAAUAGGGGGAAGGUGAUGGGAAGUAUACUAAAUAAUAUUUUGUUGGUGAUUAAAAUAAUUUCAGUUCCUCUUUAUUUUCUUAUUGAAAAUUGUUAGAAAUUAAAGUAUGGAUAGAAAAGUUUAUUUUUUUUAAAGGAAAUAAAAAAAAUCAAAUAAUAUUUUAAUACGAUUUAAAAAUAAUUUAACGAAUGCUAAAUCAUUGUAGGACAGAAUGAUUUUUCUUUAUUGGGCAAAUGGUAAUAUGACUUUAUUGUUUGCUUUUAGUUUUUGUAAUAAUGAAAAAGAAAUGGUAGGAGAAGGGUAUUAAAGACAAUGAACAAUGAAAUGCAUUAAGAGUAAGCAAAGAAUUUAUGACAUUCGUUAACAUUCAUACUAGAAUUGAUUACAAGACAUAAAGCACCUCUUUUUAACGAUGUUUUAUGAUGUGUUUAGAAACUUAAUGGAAAGAUCUAUGCAUGUUACUCGUCCCCAUCAUGCUUGAUGAUGAUGACCAUAAAGUUACAAAACUACCCCUUCUUUUUACGUGGUCCCCCCCAUUUUAAGCCCACAUCAAGUGUCUCAACGCAAAAGAAAACGACAUCAAUCAAAGGGAGCGGCUUGGCCCUUAUAAGGGACCCACGCGUCACGUUUUGCAGCGCGGGCUCGAAAGAGAUAUAUGAGGGUCCCCCUUUUCCCCGCGUUCCCGCGUAUGCGGUUGCACAGCACACGCUACCGCAUGAUCGCCUUUAUUAAUUUAUUUACUUGGUAUCGGAUUACCUCGCAUCAACACCAAUCGCUUCCACCAAUUAGGACAUUUGCCGCUGGCCGUCGACUAGUAAUUUGUCUAAACCGCGGUUGCUUGUAGAAACUUCGAAUUUCAAAAACAAAACAUAUACGCACAUUUUUUAGAUUGUUUGAGCCCAUCGUUUGCCCAAAUCCCCCCCCCCAAAGGGUCUUCUUUCGUAUUAGUUUUAUAUUACUCACUCGUAAUUGUUUUUGUUAAUUUAAUUUUUUAUAAAUAAUUAGAUAAUGGUGACAGUUUUUAAAAUUGACACAAUAAUAAUUUUGACUCUCAACAUUUAUAUAUUGUAUCAAUUUAAUAUUGAUUCUAAAAAUUUCAACUCUCAUUAUUUACGCAUUGUAUAAUUUAAAUAAUUAAAACAAAUAAAAUUAAAUAAUUAAGAGACCUUUGUAAAUUUUCAUGAUUAAAUAACCUAAAGAAAUUAAUUAACAAUGACUAUUUUAUAAUUUUUUUAUAACUAGUUCACUACUAACAUGAUUUAUUUUGUUUAUUAUAUAAGACAAUUAGUAACUUUUAGCAAUCUUUAUCUCAAAUAUAUAGUUUUUUUUUUCGUAACUAUAUAGUCUUCUAAUUAUCUGGCCGGCUUCAUAAACAUCUACCGGGAAAACAUGAUAACUUAAGGGGAAAAAGAAUUCUGGAUUUUACACAUUUUGUUUUUAACAAUUGUAUAUCACAAUAAUGUUUAAAAGACAUAAAAAGUUUCUCUUCUUCUUUCGGUUUUAUGUGUUAUUUCACAAACUAUGGGUAUAUAAUAACUCAAAACUUAUAUAUAAAAAGCAAACCAUAAAAGUUAUUUACAGUUUCAAUUGAAUAUUUAAGUAUAAAUCAUGUUUUUAAAUUGUCUUUUCGAAUUAUGUAGAAUUUUUUUAUAAUUAAAAUAUUUUUUUCGUUGUAAUUUAUAAAAAUUAAUAAUUUUAAGGUCUACAAUUAUUAUUUUCAAUAAUAUUAAUUUGGAUUUCUUUCUCUAAAAAUACAAUACAUCUUUUCAUUAUACUUAACACUACAUCCAACCUCAAAUGCUUUUUGAUUUUUUCUUUUAACUUUUUUUAAUUAGCGGCAACAGAACAUCAAAUUCAAAAAAAAAAAAAAAAAGCAUUAGAAUCAAACAUGUUUUUCUAACUUAUUAAAAGUCAGUGGGAAGUGAGAACUGAGAAGCAAUCAUUUUGGUAGGAAUAGGUAGAAUUUAAAAUACAAGUAAUACAGAAAAACAACAAAACAUAAUAAAAGAAAUAAAAUACGAAACUGCAAUAAUAGAAUUUAUAAUUCAUUUUAAAAAUAUAAAAAAACAAUAUAGAAAUUAUUAAAUACUCAAAAAAUAAAUAACGCAUCGUGUUUGCAAUUCAUUGAUGGGGUUGCCAACAUUGAAUUAUACUUAUUUGAUUCUUAUUAAAAAAAUCACCGGAGAAAAAAAGAAAAGAAAAGUCAAAUUGUAUUUGGUGACUAUAAACAAAAGCAGAAGUUCCCGAUCGUUAUCUUUCUUUCUGUUUUUUUUUCUUUUUGAAUAAUUCUUUUUGUAGUAUUGUUCUCUUUCAUUUUCGUCCGAAUUUUUUUAAAUUUUUCUUUAUUUUUAUUUAAAGGAAGAAAGAAACAGUCAAUUCCAUCUUUUUGUUCUAAAACAGUAUAAUUAUCAAAGCCAGGAGAAUAAUAACAACUUGAGCAUAUAAACGGCUGGUACAGGUUAGCAGAAGACCGUGUGGGACUCUUUAUUGACACGUAAGAUAGCGAAACCCCUAUAGACCGUUACAAAUGCCAGCCGGCAAUGCUUUACCUAUUCUUCUUAAUAAUACAACACGUGUCGUGUGAAGGCCACUUUGUUAUGUCAAGGAUUUUUACUUGGACAAUAAUGCUUUUACUUCGUGAUUAUAUUUGCAAAAAUAGUUAAUAUUAUAUUGGUGGUCGUAUCAUUGUUUUACUCGUAUUGAUAAAUAUCGAAAUUAAUUAUUUUAAUAUGUCGUUUUAGGAUUAUUGAUAUUUUAAAAAACACUUGAUAUAUGUGUUUAAAAAAAUAUUUACAAAUAUCAAAUAAUAAAAUUAAAUAUAAAAAAUAUAAUUUUGGUUAAAGUGGUAAAGAAGAAAUUAAUCAGUAUGCAUUGGUAUAGCCAGUUCUGGCCAAAAUUUGCAUCGAAAUGGAACUUAAAGUUUAUUGUUCCUAUUUACUACUGGAAAGGAGCACUCUAGCUAGUACAUGCAGUACCAAAACGAUACCAACUUCUAUAGUUGGUAUAUGACUUAUCUAUACUAAAUAUAAAAUGGUUAAUUGAGUUGGUGUCAAUAAAUUAACUUGAUAUCAAAUUAGUUGUAAAAUUAUUAAAAUAUGUUUACUUUAAUAAUUAAUGUUUUUGACUAAAAAAAGUAAUUAAUAUUAAUAUUAAAAAUGUUAGUCUUUUGAUAUAUUUAUGUAAUAUUUUAAAUAAAACAAUGAAAAAUAUUAUUUGAAAAUCACCUUAAAAACACAUUAUUUGAGGUUGAAUGUAAACCAAAAAAUUUAAAUAGAAAUCUAUAUUAUCACUUCAAAUAAUCAUUUAUUGAAAUAAGUGUAUAUAUUUAUUAAUAUAAUAUAUUUUCGUUCAACGAUAUAAUGUAUAUUACAUAAAUAGUAUUUUUCUUUCAAAAUUACGUUUUGUAGUGUACAAUUAUGACGUUAAAAAUUUAUUGUAGUGAAGUGAUAUGAGGAGUAGUCGAUGUUAAUAAAUUAUAAAAUAUUAAAAAAAUAACAAAUGUAAAUGUUGUUAAGGUGUUUCAUCUUUUUCAUGUUUCAUAUAAAAAACUUAAAUCGCAACUUGAAAUAACCACUUUAAUUAAGAAAAGGAAUAAAUAUAAAAAUUACACAUUAAAGUUUAAUGUGUAAUUUGAUAUACAAACUUUAAUUUAUGUAAUUUGUCACGUGAAAUUUUAAUUUAGAUAUACGCAUAAAAAUUUAAUUUUGAUUCAAUUGUAUUGUGCCCAAUUAUAUAAAUACAUCAAUUUAUUUUCAUAUUGAAAUUUGUGUAUGCAAUAUAUGAAUGUAAGAUACUGCUCUGCUGAUAAUGUUAUUACUAGUUUUGUAAAAAUUAAAUUAAAAUUUCAUGUAUAAAAUUACACAAAAUCAAAUUUUAUAUACAAUUAAUAUUACAAAUUGGACAAAAAUUCAUGUAUAAUUUUAAUAUUUAUGAUUAUACCAUAAAAAUAUAUUAUCUUAUUGAAAAAACUAUUAUUAUUAUUGUAAAAAUUAAGAGGAUGUGAAUUCAAUGAAUAUUGAAGGUUUUAGAUAAAAAUAGUCAUUAUAUAUAACAAAAAAAAAUCUAUCAUUUUUUUAAUUCCUUUUAAAAAUUUACAAUUUAUUUUAAUAUACUCCUUUAAAAUGAAUCUAUAUUUUUUACAUACAUUUUUUUUUCUUUUUUUCCACAUUAUGAAUGUGUGAUAAAACAUUGAAUACUCUUGAUUAUCCACAUGAUAAUUUCAUGAAAAGGACGAGUGAUUAAAGUUUUAGCGAAUCCUAAUAGUUAAAUUAACCCUAAUUACUCAUUAUCUAUACGAAAAUUGAAAUUUUUGAAAACAAAAUUGACAAGUGCAUAAGAAAACAUUAGCUGGCAAGGUGGAAUUUAACAGUGAAGCUAGAAAAUUAAACUCAACUUUGAUUAAAGCCCUUCUCUAUUUGUUUGUUUUCUAGCUCAAGGCAUGUAACGUAAAGGACAUGUUUUGCAACAACAUUAAUCUUCUUCUUCUUCUUUUUUAAUGAAUUAAUAUGCGUAAAAUUAGGUAAAAAGAAAGAAGACCUUGACUUGACAAAGUUGCAAUGAAGAAGAGAGAGAGAGAGAGAGAAGCAACUACAAAUCAACACUAAACAAAUAAAUAGUCAAAAGUCAAUAUAGAACAAAGAAAAUAGAGGGGUACUUUAGUUAAUUAAUUAAGGUUAAGAAUAUGCACGCAAAUUCCGGAGUCAAAUUCUGCUUUAAUUUAUCAUUUAUUACAUCUUUUGUUGUUAAUUUACAUUUUGUCGGUAGCAAAAUAAUUAUUUUAAAUAAAAAAAGGGGAAAAAUGAGCAAAAUAAAUAAAUAGGGAAUACAUUCUCUUUGUGGUGGGCCUAUCACACACGUGUACCAAUUAACCUAAACUUACGACAAAUUUGACAAUGAGGCUUCCUCGCAUCAGUGCCGUGAAAAUGCGGUUAAGUUGUAUUUUUUUUCCAUCAUCUAUAUAUUUAUACUGAUUUAAUUAUGAUUUUUUAUUUUUAAAGAGUAAUAAAUAUUAUUUGGUGGGUAGUAUUUUUUUUAUAUUUUCAUAUAAAUAAAUACAUAUGUAUAAUAUAAAUUGAAUUUAAAUUUUAUUCUAAUGAGUAAUGUUAUACAUGAAAUUUGAUUUUGUACGAUUUUAUAUAUAAUUUUUUAAUUUGGUUUAAUUUUUAAAAAUUAUUAACAACAUUAUUAAAUUAGCACAAUUUUAUAUUCAUAUAUUACGUACAAAAACAAUUAUAUUAAUUUAAUAUGAAAAAUGAAUGUUUGUAUUUAUUUCUUUAAAUGUGUACAAUUCAAAAAACAACUAAAGUUUUAAGUGUAUAAUUGUAUCAAAUUACAAUUUGAACCAAUAUUCAUGCAUAAAUUUAAUAUUUAUCACUUGAACUUAAGCCACAUUUGAUGUUUAUUUUAACUUUUAUAAAUUUGUUAUAUGAAUUAUUUUUAAAUCACACUAUGAGUUGAUAAGUGCCUAAUUUUUAUAUUUAUUUAUAAUAUUUCCUCUUAAAUUAUGAUAUUUAUUAUUAAUUUAGGGAAUAAUUAAAAAAUGACGAUUUGAAAUUUUAAUAAAAGUGUAAAAUUUUAGUAUUUUGAUUAUAACUUAAGUUAAAGAUAUUUACAAUCGAAGUCCAACAACGUUAGUCAUCUAGUUUUAUUAAAUUUUAUAAUUUUGUUGUUAUUUGAGUAAAUAUUAUUUCAAUAAAAAAAUCCUAAAUAUCUCUUAUUAAGUUUGGUUAAUUUUAUUGGAUUAUGACAUUAUUUAUGAAAAUAAAUUAGGUUUAUUAAUUGGAAAACAGAAAUCGAAAGUAUUGAUUACCCAAUCAUAAGGCAGACAUAAGACAGCGAGCCUCCCAUGUGGUCCCGUUGAAACCAAUAACUUCAUCCCAAAAUCCCCAUCACCAUCUCUUUGCUUUCUCUCAUCUUAUGGAUAACAACUUGGUAACCAUUGGAUCUACAUAAUUGCCCCCUUCCCUCCUUUUUAUGUAAUAAUCAAACUGAUAUUAGAUACAAAUGUUGUCACUGACCGUUGGACGAUUUCAAAUAUUAUCAACGUUUUCCAAACAUAAUCUGAGUAGAUUAAAUAAAAUUAUUAAACCCUAUGUUUUAGUCCUUUGUAUUUAUGUACCAAUUAUUGUAUGGCUUUAUUUUUUAAAUUAGAGAAAACAAAAGUAAAUGUAAUUUGAAAGUAUUGUAUUAAAAAUCGAAUUGUAUUUUGUCCUUGUAAGUUAAAAAGGGUAAAUUAGUUUUUGUAUAUUAGAUUGAAAAUCAAAUUAAUUUUUUCUGUUAAAAUUUUUUCCAUUUGUAUCGUUAAAAAUUGGUGUGAUUAAUGAAAUAAUUAGAUAGUGACAUAUGAUGUGCACCUCAUUCUGACAUACACGGAUCAGUUUUUAACAGCAAAAAUAGAUGAAAAUUUUAACAAAAAAAUCAGUUUUCUCUUAAAUCUAAUGUAUAGGGGUUAAUUUGUCCAUUUUUUUGAAUAGGGAAAUAAAAUGCAAUCUGAUUCAUAGUAUAGGAGACUUCAUUAUAUUGUUACUGAGGAGGAGGCAAAGACUACCUGAUCAUUGGUCGGGCUACCUAUCUAGGCUUAAAAGCCUAUCCAAAAAGUAGUAGGGUUUGGCCAAAAAUAUAGAGUCGAAAAAUGAGCUUGGACAAAAAUAAGACUUGUUUUCUAAAUGGGUCGAGUAUCGGUAAGAUUUUUUACCCUGACCCAAAUUUGCCUAAAAUUUUCACUAUUGUUUACCGUUGUUUUGCUGACAUUUUGCUAUUAUUUUGCUAUUAUAUGGUUGUUAUUGUUUGAUAUUGUAUAACUAUUGUUUUAUUAUUAGUUUUGCUACUAUUUUAGAGACGUUUGAUUGCUAAAUUGUAACUAUUUUAGUGCUAUAUAAGUAUAAAAUUUUUUUGAUGUAUUUUCGAUUUGCUAGGAAUAUUUAUUUUAAUAUUUUUAAUAUAUUUGAUGUAUUAUAUAUUUUAAAUUUGUUUUUAUAUAAAAAAAUUAAUAUGAACAUACCAUAUCCAAAUCUAGAAAAUAAAUCUAAAAUUUUACAUUGAUUCAAUUCGGCUCAACCUACUACCAGGUCUAACAAAGACCCAUCUAAUUUAGGUGAUUGGUGGAUGAUAUAACCAGUGGUUGUAUUGAUUUUGAUACUAUCAAUGAAUCAACCAUAAAAUAUUUUGAAGUCCCUACAACGAAAAUAUCAUCAGAUCUCACAGCAUAUAUGUGACCAUCCAUGAAUCAAAAUAUUAUCUCACCAAAACUCUGUUCGGAUGGUAGGAAGAUAAGGGCUCCAAUCUUUCAAUAUCACCCCCCCCCCCCAAAAAAAAAAAAAGAUAUAACAUCAAUGCACUUAAACAGUAUUUACAGUGCUUGCUCGAUAUGUUAUUUUCACCACACUAAUAUUUUCUUAAAGUUUUUAUGUUCAUAAUGUAGGUUUAACUUGCUAAACUUUGAUGGCAUUGGCUAAAUUUCACCCAAAAUACAACGUUGAACAAUAUAUAUAUAAUGGGUUAUAUUCGAAAAGAUGCUAUUAAUAUUUAUGAAUGACAAUUGGAAUAGAAGCAUGAAUUUUGAGAGGGAAGAAAAUAAGUUUCGCAGAAACUGAAAACUGUUUGUUUUUCCCUAUAUUUAUCUGUAAAGCUGUCGGCAAGUGAGAACAAAAAGUCCUCUACCAUUCAAGGUUCAACCUAACCAUUACAAAAAGUUAGAUUCGCAGUUAAACCAGCACCUGCAAACUUCGCAAUCAUAACCCGCAAUGUUUUUAAAUGUAUUAAUAGUCCUCAAUCAAGUCACUGGUGUAAUAACACAAGAUUUGUCUUGAAACAACAUGAAAAAAGAUGUUAAAAAAUUCUUGUGAUUGAAAUAUUUUAUCUUAUACACUUAUUUUCGGUCAUUGUUUCGUUCUUUAUUCAAAUCAUGCUUAACAAAGAGAAUAUCAAAUGAUUAGUCAUGAUUGGCAACUUUUUUUUUUUUUGAAGAUAAUUGCUUCACUAAAAACAGUUGUUUAUCACAAUAUUGUCAAAAGAAAAGGGAAUUAAGGAACAUGCAUGUACGUAUUUAUCACAACCUACACUCAUGAAUAACAUAUAAAUAAAGAACAACAAACAUGAAAGGAAAAGGCUCGAACCAAACCUAAAUGUGAAGUCAAUUUGUAAGAUGUUAAUAGAAAGCUACAUGAUAAUAAGCUGACACAGUGGAUAUAGGUCCCACCUAGAAGAGGGCACAGGGCUCUCAUGGCACCAGUUAAGAAUUUUCAGGUCGAGCAUGCUGUAAAGUAGGUCAGCUUUCUUUAUAUAUAUACACAUAUAUAUAUAUGUGUGUGUGUUAAGUUUUCAUAUGGACGUUGAUCAGAAUUGGGUCACCAGAUCAUGGCUCCACUGUCCACUACAAAGGGACCAAUUAUCUAAAUAUCAAAAUAUAGUAUUUAGAUUAGCUAUGAACCAUAAGUUCAACCCAUCUACCAACCACAAAUAUAAUAUCGAUUUUUAGGUGACAUCGGUCGGUUGUAACGCAUGAUUCAACAUGUGAAAACAUUAGUAACUUGGAAUUCCUGUGAUUCAAGUGAAGCAGCUAAAUUAUGGGCUUGAGGCAAUUAAAUUUUAGAAAGUUUUAGAAUACUUUUUUUUUGUUGGUGGCCUAUGAAAAUUAGUGCAUGACAACUGGAAUAUUCCGUUGGAUUAGUUGGUGAUGUGGCAGAUACAAGUCAUUGCCAUAUCAGCUUUAAAAGUUUUUUUUAUAUAAUUUAUAUUUGGAAGUAGGAGGCUGACAGGGUGUGUAGUUUCUUCUCGAGUCGUUUAAUCAAAACUCGAAACCAAACAAGUUUCCUAACCCAAUUCUCAAAAUGGAAUAAAUAAAUUUCAUACAGAUAGAUAGAUACUAGAGGGGUUUUCUUUUGUGUCUAUCUUUUUAUAAACCUUGUGAAAUGGUCCAAAUUGCAGGGUUUUCAGGAUGUGUCAUGAAAGUGUAGCUCCCUGCCAUGUUCUUUGUGUUACUAUUUUGGCCAUUGACAACUUGAUCAUGAUUGAUGGGUGUUUAACAACAAUAGGGCUUUAGCAUCUUUUUAUUUAUUUUUGCAUGAAUGGCUUAAUUAACAUAAUUUGGUGUCGAUACAUUUGCUCGGACCACGCUUGAAUGCUUAACUCGGAGUAAAAAAAAAUUAAUGGAAAAUAAUCUACUGUUUUUGACUUACCUCAUGUGUUUUAUUUGUGGGGCAUGGCUAACUGAUAUGUAGAUGAACCUUUUGGGCCUUAACGCUAAUAUGGGUUUCAAUUGAAUGGUAGUCAUCACAUCUUGGGCCUGGCAAUAUUGCCUCAACAUAAACGUGCUUAGUGAACUUUAUGGAGACUAAUCUCUUACAAUUUCAAUGAAAUCUGUGACAUAUAUGGAUUGUUAUACCCCUAGUAAGAUAGGACACAUAGUAAGUUCGAGUACGGUUUGUAAUUUACUUUCAUAAGUUUAGGGAUUUUUUAUCGGAUUAGUAUGUCAGCUGUCCAUGGUGUAUCUCUUGUUAGAGUCAUUUAAAUUUAAUUAUUUAGUACAAUCUUAAAAAAUAAAAGUAUCAGAGUAAAACAACUUAUGACACUAAUAAGACAAUAUAAUUCACACCAUGGCGACAAUUAACCUGUAAUGACAUCCACAUCGACAUCUAAUUAGUUUUUACAACCAUGUAGAUCUUUGUGCUAUAUAUUGCAUAGUACUAUAAGAUAAGGGGUAAUCCACUAUAUAAGCCUGGAUGCAUUAGAGUAUGAGGAUCUCUCAUUCCUCCAUCAUUUCCUUCUACUUCUCCUAAUUCUCUCACACAGCAUCCUUGCUCCUUCCCUUCAUCUUCUCUCCGCCAAACUAAGACAAAUCGAUACUCACCUCCAUCACUUUCUCUUUUUCAUUGGUAACUUGUAUCAUCAGAGUUUUCAAACAGAAACAUUAGUCGUCCAUCAUAUUUGAUAAUCACUAAAACCAGCCUUCAUAGGAAAUAAUAUUUGAUUUUACAAGCUCCGUAGUAAGUAGAAAAGUUUUUUCAACUCUUGGCUUUCUAAGGUAAUUAAUAACCAUGUUAAUUAAUUACAUCACUAAUUUCUGAUCAGCUUCGAUCUUUUCCAAGGAUUUGUCUGAAUUUAGUUCAAGAUAUCAUCAUUUUUUCCCCUCAUCUUCUUAAGCAGUAAUAAAUGAUACUAAACACUACACAAAUUGAGACAAUUUAUACUUAGACACUGAAAAUUAUGUUCUUGUCCCUUUUAAGCGGUUCAACAUUCAAUAUUGUGUUGCGUUCUCCUAUUGAUGUCCUCCAACGCAGACCCAAGUUUUUUUACAACCACACCUGAUGAAUUCCUCACUUGUCUGGAUUUGUAAAGAGCUUCCAUUUUGACAUGACAGUCAUAUCCUUCGUCCUCCCUCUUGCAUGGUUCAGUGUUCCUUUAUCAAAUUCUCCAUUUCCACAUAUUGCUGCUAGUAAAUAUAUCUUCAGCUCAGAGUGUUCUCCUCGAGUGAGUGAGUUAGGAAUUAAUAAAUAAAUAUAUAUGCACAUGUAUGUCUUCUUAGUUUCCUGAUCUUCUGAUAUUAAUAGCUAUUCUUAUUCUAGCUGUUCAAACACCAUGGCUUGCACGCGAGGUGAUGGGCAAAUUGUUAUCUUAUCCUCAACAAUUUAUAAUUCCAUGUAAGUUUAUCCAUAAAAUUCUUUCAUAAUAAACGUAAUUGGACAUACUAAGAUUCGAUCAUAUUCUUAUUAGAUCCUAUAGAAAAUUUAUUUCAUCUCAUUUCAUUUAAUUAUUUUUUUAAAAUUUAAAAAUAUUUCAAUUUUAACGAAAUAGAAAUCCUUCUAUUUCCAAAAAUAUAUUAUUACAAAAUAUAUUAUUAAUACUAUAUAUUCAUAUAAUAUUCAUAAAUAGCAUUUUAAAAAUAAUAUAUCUUAAUCUAAUCAUAUAACAAAUUUAAUAUAUCUAAUUACAUUUAUUAAUUUAACCACCAUCGACGGUGACAGAUGAAACCUUUGAUAAAUUCUCUCAAAUUGAAAAGUCCCAUUAUUUUAAUGGCAUAAUAAUAUCGUUAACUAUGAUUAUUUAAAAAAGGAAAACGAAAAACUGGGUAAUGUUUGGGCUUGGUACAGGCACAUGAGCUUCAUCCUCCAAUUCAAAAUUACGAUAAAAUUACAAGCUGAAGAGAAGGGUGAUACAAAAUCGAUAACAUUUAUCCAACAUAUGAAGGAUUAUCUCAUGGACAUCCUACCCUUCUAUAUAAUCUAACAACAUAGAUAACCACAUUAGCACCUUUUAGUUACAUAUAAUAUAUAUUAAAUACUAACCAGUAUCUUUUAAACAACAUUUUGGUCGUUUAAGGAUUCUUCCAUCGUCGUUUUGCUAGAAUGAAGUGAAAACCGACAAUUUUGCACUGCAUCUUCAAUAGACAAGUAGAAAGAUUCUUUUCCAAUGGCGUCUGUGAAUUUCGCUAACGUCAUUUUCUCCAGAACUUCAAUCCUAGGGUUCACAAUGCUUAACUGCAAUAACCACACACAGAUUUCCUUUUAAUUUUCUUUCAUACGUCUAAAAACCAUUACGUAAGCAUGUUUUAAGUUUUUUACCUUGAUACCCUUCGAGUCCAGAAUUCUACGUAACUCAAGAAAUGUUUCAAUGCCUGUCAUGUCAAUGGAUGAAACUCCUGCAAAAAAAACAAAAUGGUUACUGAUAAAAACAUGGAUAUGAUUGAUGGUUACUGAUAUCUGAUACCUAGAUUUUGUUUUUACAUAUAUUAUUAAUUAUUUUGGUCGUGAGGAAAAACAUGAUUAUUAAUUACCUGACAGAUCUAAUAAAAGAUGCUCAAUGAUAUCAGUUUUAGAAUCUGAAACACCCUGUUCCUCCUUUAUGUACCUAAGAACCCUGUUCAAAAAAGAAAUUUACCAUUUUUUUUUCUGGGUUUUGAUGGAAUUUAUCAUUUUUUUUCAAUGAAGAUAAAUAAAUGUGAACCUUUCUCUUAUGUAGGUGGAGUUUGCAAAAUAAAUAGGAGAACCAAGUUGAAGAACUAGGGCUCCUUGUAUGGGAGUUGAGCCAGGGUACUGCUCUGCGUCACGAUAUAAACUUGAGUUUGGGAUUUUGCCAAGUUUGCAGGCUGCUGGCCUUGCCACGUACAAUAAUGCUCUGAGUAAAGCAAGUCCUACCUGAAAAUAAAAUAAUACAAUACUAUUUCAGACACAGUUAAAAGAACAUGACUGUAUAUAUUUUUUUGGAGGGAAUUUUUUACCGAAAGCAUGAGGCCGACAUCCAUACUGAUGAAGCUGACACCAAGGAAAGCAGCCAUGCAGAUGACGAAGUCGAAUUUAUCGACUUUAAAGAGGUGAAUCAUUUCAUCAUAAUUGAUUAAUCCAAGCAUUGCAGACAUGAUAAUGGCGGAUAAAGCAACCAGAGGUGUGUAUCUGAAGAGAGGAGCUAAGAAAAGGAGUGUUAACAUCAUGCAAAAUCCCAUUACGACAUUGGACAUUGCUGUCCUACACCCAGCAUUGAAAUUCACUGCCGUUUUUGAAAAUGGUCCUGCAAAUUCAAAUAUUAAAAAGAAUAUAUCAGAAUAUUCUUCAUAAAUAGUAGCAUGAAGAAGUAUAUAUAUAUACCUGUUGUCAAGUAGCAUGAAGUGAAAGAUCCGAUAAUAUUCAUGAAACCAAAAGCUAUCAUUUCCUUGUUCCCAUCAGUCUGUUCACUUUUCAUGAUGGCAAAGCUUCGUCCUAUUGCUAUCCCUUCCUGGAAGUUUCAUUUUCAUUAUAUGAUUUUCACACCUAUAUAUAUAUAAAAGAAAAAUGAUAACAAAAGGGUUGGGAUUCUUACAGCCAUUGCAAUAAGUCCUGUGAUAAGACCAGCACGCACAGUUACAGGAAGAUAUUGGGGAUCGAAGUUCAAAUAUUGAAUUGAGGGGGGAUUUAAUCCCUUCUUCAACUCACCAACCUGAAACCCCAAACAUAAAUGAUUACCCUAUAAUUAGAAAGAUCAAACCGUGGUUAACAAAAUAAAACUAAUUAUUACAAAUGAGCUUACGAUUUGGAUUCCAUGUUUCUCUGCAUGGGCAAAGAAUGCAAAAAGACAACCAACCACAACAACGACCAUGGGAGCAAUAGCUGACACCCAGAAUAGUUUUGGCCUUUUUUGUCUCUGAAAAUACAUGUCAACAUCUUUAGCAAUAGGCAGAGGGAGCUAAAAGAAGAAAGAAAGUAAGGAAGGAGGGUAGUUUUUGUUUUUAAAUCAAUAUGGAUUAUUAUUGAUGUAAAGGAGAUUAUUAGCUUAAAUAAUUAUUUGUUUUGUGAAUUCAUUUGGAACGCAUUUAAAAUAAAUAAAUAAUUUAUUAGGGAAUGGAUAAGAUAAUAAGAUUACGAACCGAUAUUCUUUCUUCAGAUUAUGAUAUUACGCAUUUUAAUAGGAAAUACGGUUGGCAUGAAGGUUACCGAUUUCCUAUUAAUGGUUUAUGAUAUAGCAUUAAUGAUGUGAUUAUCUAAGAGAUUUUAUCAGUAUAUUUUUCCAUAUUAGUGAGAUACAAAAAAGGAAACAACUAUAUCGAAUAAUUUUCCUUACCAGGUAUCGAGUGAAUUGGAGGAAAGCAAGGAAGAUAAUACCAACAACAGCACUUUCCCACCUCCACUGCUCAUUUAUCAGUUUAUAAAAUCAGAAUUUUAAGCAGUAAAUAAUGCUGUAAUUAGUUGCUGAGUAAGUUAAUGUUUUCCCAGAUCACAGACCUCGUUCCUACGGCGGAAAACUGCACCAAGGACCGAAACCACAUCAGUAUGAGUAGUGAAAUGUACUAAACCAAAUAUUCCUUUCAAUUGUUGUAGGCAGAUGAUUAUCGCAGUCCCUCCCAUGAAACCAGUGAUGGUAGAAUGUGAUAAGAAAUCAACCAAAAUUCCCAGCCUGAAACAACCCCAUGAAAAAAGGUUAAAAAUGGAGAAGAAAUUAAAAAUAAAUCAAAUCAAAUACUACUGUUUAUGAUCAUCAUUUAACCUUAAGAAACCCAAAGCAGUCUGGAAAAUUCCAGUGAAGAAAGUGGCAGUGAAAAUUAAGUGCAGAUACAAUGUGGGAUCGUCUUGGGGUGAUGCUUUAGCUCCAACGGUUUCUGAUAGAAGCAAUGAACAUGCCGCCACUGUUCCUACAGCAAGGUGUUUUGAACUCCCGAAAAUGGCGUAAACAAAAGGCGGUAUAAAGCUUGAAUCUGCACCAUUAAUAACCAAUAAACCAAGCUUUUUUUCUAAUGAAACUGAGAAAGAAAAUAGUAGUAAUAUUUAUGCUUACAGAGGCCGUAAAUUGGAGGAAUAUUGGCGAGUUUAGCAUAGCUAAUCCCUUGAGGGAUUGCAAGACUGGUAAUGGUAAUACCAGCGAGCAAAUCAUAUCUAAACAAACGUAGAUUAUAAUUAGGCAACCAUUCAAACAAUGGGAUAAAGUAUUGGAUUGUUUUCUUGAGUUUAUUCAAAGGUUUUUCAUGUUUCAUCUCAUGGAAAGGAUCAUCGGGGAAGAAAGUUUCUUUACAAUCAGCUUUGAAAGCAGUGGCAAACCCUCUUGGGGCUGCGAAAUUCACCGCCUGCCGACUGGGAUUCGCCAUAUCUAAUCAAGAAGCAAGGGCUAAGAGAAUGUGGGAUAAGGGAAAAAGAGAAAUGGGGUGGUUGCCUUUAUAUACAAGUAAUCUAAGCUUCCAAACAAAAUUGUGGCAACCUAGUGGAGAUCAGCGACGCAAAUUUGACAAAAUAAAAAGCUUUGGAUAAAAGACUUUAUUGAGGGGACGUCUUUCGAGUAUAGUCAUCUUAUAUGAAUUAAACUUUCAAAGCUGAUAACACUCCUCUCUCUCUUUGGUUAUAGUUUAUCUGAUUACUACUUUCCUUAAUUACAAGUUUUUAUCUUUAAUUUAGAUUCUUUAUCCUAUUUAAUUGGCUAAUUUGUUAAAAUAUAAACAACUUAUUUGGAAAAUUUUACUCCACAAACUAAACAGAGGUGGAAUGCGUGAUAAUUAAUUUUUUUUUAUUUACUAGUGUAUUAAAACCAAACUCUUUAUUUUAUUAAUAUAUUAUCCAAUAUUACUAUAAUAAUAUAGAAUUUAAGAUAAAUAAUGUCAUGUUAAUAAGAUAUACAUGUGGCAUGCCACGAAGGUUGCUAUGCCAACAUCAUUAAAAGAAUAUUUUAGCCUGUAUUUUCGUUUAAGUAAUGUUUGCAAAGUCACUUAGUAAUUGCUUUUAUUUACUUAAGGAUGCCAUGUUUGGAUAUCUAUCUUAAUUGAUGGGUCCCAUUGAAUUACACUUUCUAAUUCUUAGGAGGUGAGCAUUGAAAUAAUUACGAAAUAAUAAAAAUAAUAAAUAAAUAAAUAAAUUAGAAUAACCCAAUUACCGAAUAAACAAAUUCAAACUUGGAAAGGAUCUUUCAAAUUCUCAAAGAACGAGGGAUAAAGGGAUUGGUCGAGAAAGUUCUCUUGUUCUUUUUAUAAGAUCGUGUGAAUAGAUCCGUAAAUGUUUGAUAAAAAAAAAUCUCUUUUGAGAACAAUAAAAAAGGGAAAAUGUUCAAUUAGAACAUGAAAACAUGUAAUUACACCCAAAUUUAUGUAACACCCCUUACCCGAGACCGUUUCCGGAGUCGAGCACGAGGCAUUACUUAGCUUAUCUUACCAAUUCGGAGCAUAAAAACUAGGUUUGAAAAUUUAUUUUAUUAUUCGCAGUAAAUCUGUCCAAUCGCGCAGCAGUUACUAAAUUAAUUAUAAAUUGAGCUACAGAACUCGAAAUUUAAUUCCGUAAAUUUUCCCUGAAACUAGACUCAUAUAUCUACUCACCAUAAAAUUUUUAGAAUUUUUGGUUCAGAAAAUUAGUACAGUUUAUUAGUUAAAGUCUCCCCUGUUUCACCACCUGACUGCCCUGACCUCUAGUCACUAAAAAUAAGUUUUCUCACUGUAGGAUUUUCAUAUGAAGUUCUUACUUGUUUCUACAGAAAAUAGACUCAUUAAGAAAUCUAAGCAUGUAAAUUUCAACCCAUAACCAUUUUUUUACAAUUUGUAAUUAUUUUCUAAACUCAGAACAGGGGACUCCAAAAACAGUUCUGACCCUAUCUUACUAAAAUUCACAUAUCUUAAAAUAUAAAUUUCCUUUUUCUACACCGUUAUUUUUCCAUGAAAAUAGACUCAACAAGCUUUAAUUCCAUAUAUCAUUCACCCUCUAAUUCAUUUUAUACUAUCUUGGGUGAUUUUUCAAAUUCACGUCACUGUGCUGCCUGAAUUCUGUUUCUUUGCAAAAUUUUAUCCUUUCAUGAUUUCCAUGCAUAAUUUAUCACCUAAUCUUUCAUAACAACAAACACCUUCAUCCUUAAUCAUUUUAAUAACCAUACAUCAUCAAAUACUUACACAUCACUCAUUAGCAAAAUCAUCAUUACAAACAUACAAAAUAACUAAAUCCCUAUACAUGCCAUAACUCAAACGUGUUUUGAUAUAAAAUACCGAGCAGUUGUAGUUGAUAGUGUGGACGAUCUCCGACUUCUUUAGGAUCCUUAAAGUAGCUUUGCAAUACUAUAAGAGAAAGAGAAAUAAAAGAAGUAAGCAUAAAGCUUAGUAAGUUUACUAGCAAAUAAAUAACAAUAUUUAACUUAAAUAAUUAAACUCAAUGUCUAUAUCUCUAGUUUACUCUUUAGUUAAUCUCAUACUAGUUCUCUUACUUGUUUACUUAGAAUACUUGUGUGCAUAACUUACUCAAUCCUUGCUGCAUCGUUGAACAUCAAUUGAUAGUAUAAUAAGUUCUUAAGUCUUACAACUUACCUGAGCUUGCCAUUUAUGCUUUAAACUGAACUUUCAAGAACAUGAUUCGUUUACAAGCCCGUUGAGCUACAUUGGAAUAAUAAGGAUACUCGGGUCUCUUCUGAUAAUAACAUGCCAAAGCCAUGUCCCAGACAUGGUCUUACAUGGGAUGUUCUCGUAAUGGUGCCCAUGCCAUGUCCCAGACAUGGUCUUAUAGGGGACCUCUCAUCUCGGUGCCAACGCCAUGUCCCAGACAUGGUCUUACAUGGGACCUCUCGUCUCGGUGCCCAUGCCAUGUCCCAGACAUGGUCUUACAGGGGACCUCUCAUGAUCUUAAGGAUGCCAAUGCCAUGUCCCAGACAUGGUCUUACAUGGGAUCUCUUUACCCAAAUGUCAUGACAUUCGUAUCCAGUACCAUCCUUAUGUAUCAACGGGACUUUUAAAUUUUAAUUCUCUAUCAUUUCAUGCUUGGAUCAUCAUCAAAUAAAUUCAUAAAAUAAAUUCAUAAUUGCUGGAAAUUAACAGCAUUAAUAAUAAAUAUUGAAAUAUUGCAUUUAUUUACCGUAAACUUACUCGGUACCAAUUAUAGCCAAAUUCACCAACUUAGUCUUCAACUUUAUUCUUCCCUUUGUCUAACCUCGAGUUUCGUACUUCUUGAUCUAAAAUAGUAAAUUUAACUUAUUUAAUAAUCACAUUCAUCAAAACAGCCCUCGACUCUAACUUUUUCAAAAUUAUAAUUUUGCCCCUAAACUUUUACAUAAUUACAUUUUGCCCCAAGGCUCGGAAAUUAAACUUCAUCUCUUAUUCUUAUGUUUUAUGACAUUCUGAACAUCUUUCCCUUCUAUGGCAACAUCAAAUUCCCACUCUAACAUGUACUUAUGAACAUUAGGUAUUUUUACCGAUUAUGUCGUUUUACUCGUUUUCACUUAAAAUCGCUUAGCAAAAGUUGUUUAACAUAAUUUCUAGCUUCAUAUUCUAUCAUAAAACAUCAAAAUAAACACUUUUCACCUAUGGGUAUUUUUCCAAAUAUAAACCCUAGGUUAAAUUAUUGCUAGAAUAAGCUAAAUUAAGCUACCGGGAUCUCAAAAACGUAAAGAACAUUAAAAACGGGGCUUGGGAUCACUUACUAUGGAACUUGGAAGCUUGAAAACCCUAACUAUGGCUUCCCCCUUGCUGAUUUCGUUCAUAUGAAGAAGAUGAUGAUUUUUGCCAUCUUUUUCCCUUUUAAUUCAUUUUAAUUACUAGAUUACCAAAUUGCCCCUAACUUAAAAAUUUUCUAUUUCACUUAUCUCAUGUCCAUUUUUGUCUACCAAGUUACCAAUGGUAUAAUUAUCAUAUAAAGACCUCCAAUUUAAAGUUUCAUAACAAUUGGACACCUCUAACAUGUAGAACUCAACUUUUGCACUUUUUACAAUUUAGUCCUUUUGACUAAAUUGAGUGCCCAAACGUCGAAAUUUUCGAACGAAAUUUUCAAAAAAUCAUUUUGUGAAAUUGUAAACCAUAAAAAUAUAAGAAAAAUAAAAUUUUUCUCAUCGGAUUUGUGGUUCCGAAACCACUGUUCCGAUAACCUCAAAUUUGGGCCAUUACAACUCUCCCCCCCUUUUUAGGAUUUUCGUCCUCGAAAAUCUUACCAGUAAAGAGAUUCGGGUAUUGCUUCCUCAUUGUCUCUUCCGGUUCCCAUGUUGCUUCCUCAAUCCCGUGCUUUUGCCAUAGCACUUUCACCAGAUUUACCUUUUUGUUUCUAAGCUCCUUUGUUUCUCGUGCUAAUACUUUAACCGGUUCUUCAUUAUAAGUCAUAUCCGGCUGAAUUUCUACUUCUGUUGGAGUAAUAACAUGUGAAGGAUUUGAUCGAUACCGUCGUAGCAUAGAUACAUGAAAUACAUUAUGAAUUUUGUCGAGUUCCGGUGGUAAAGUCAAUCGGUAAGCAACUGGUCCAAUUCUUUCUAUAAUCUCAUAUGGUCCGAUAAAUCUUGGACUCAAUUUACCCUUUCGACCGAACCGGAGAACUUUCUUCCAAGGAGACACUUUUAAGAAUACUUUAUCACCCACCUGAAAUUCAAUCUCCCUUCGUUUAAGAUCGGCGUAUGACUUUUGACGAUCGGAAGCUGCUUUUAAACUAUCCCGAAUCAGUCUUACUUUUUCUUCUGUUUCCCGAAUCAAAUCAACCCCGUGUAUCUUCUUUUCACUGAGCUCUGUCCAAUAUAAUGGUGUUCUACAUUUUCUACCAUACAAAGCUUCAUACGGAGCCAUUUUAAUACUGGACUGAUAACUGUUAUUAUAAGCAAAUUCAAUCAAAGGUAGAUACCUUUCCCAAUUACCUUGAAACUCUAAUGCACAACAUCGGAGCAUAUCUUCCAAUACCUGAAUUACACGCUCAGAUUGGCCAUCUGUCUGAGGAUGAAAUGCAGUACUGAAAUACAACUGAGUACCCAAAGCUUCUUGCAAUUUGUUCCAGAAACGAGACGUAAAUCGGGGAUCUCUGUCUGAUAUAAUGGAGACAGGCACUCCAUGUAGUCUAACAAUCUCAGAUAUAUACAAUCCAGCCAAUUUAUCUAAAGAAUAAUCCAUACAUACUGGGAUAAAGUGCGCGGACUUUGUCAAUCGGUCGACAAUUACCCAAAUGGCAUCUUUCUUCCUCGGAGAUAACGGUAACCCAGAUACAAAAUCCAUAGUGAUUCUUUCCCAUUUCCAUUCCGGUAUAGUGAUUGGCUGAAGCAACCCCGAAGGUACCUGAUGUUCAGCCUUAACCUGCUGACAUACUAAACAUCUUGAUACAAACUCAGAGAUAUCACGUUUCAUACCCGGCCACCAAUACAUCUUUUUCAAGUCAUUAUACAUUUUAUUACCUCCCGGAUGUACGGACAUAAUACCACUGUGUGCUUCGUGUAAAAUCUUCUGUACAAGUUCUGAAUUCUUCGGUACACAUACUCUGCCUCUGAAUAAUAAACAACCAUCAGUUCCAAUCUGAAAUUCUGAAUCAUUACCUGACUCACAAUGCACCCGUUUAGCCUGUAAUUUCUCAUCAUUCCUCUGAGCUUCACAUAUUUGUUGACGAAAUGUCGAUUUAGCUCUCAAUUCAGCUAUGAUUGAACCAUCAUUAGACAGUGACAACCGGGUAUUCAUAGCUCGUAAAGCAAAUAGAGAUUUUCGGCUCAAAGCAUCAGCUACCACGUGAGCCUUACCCGGAUGGUAAUCAAUAAUCAAAUCAUAAUCAUUUAUCAAUUCAAGCCACCUGCGUUGUCUCAAAUUCAAAUCUUUCUGUGUCAUCAAAUAUUUCAAGCUCUUGUGAUCAGUAUAAAUAUGACACUUUUCACCAUACAAAUAAUGCCGCCAUAUUUUCAAUGCAAAUACAAUAGCAGCUAACUCGAGAUCAUGUACCGGGUAGUUUCUUUCAUGUGGCUUAAGUUGUCUUGAAGCAUAGGCUAUUACUUUAUCUUCUUGCAUCAAGACACAACCCAAACCAUUUAAUGAUGCAUCACUAUAAAUAAUAAAUUCCUUACCCGAUUCAGGCUGUACCAACACAGGUGCUUUCGUUAACAACUCCUUCAAUCGGUCGAAACUUUGCUGGCAUUUUUCUGUCCAUUCAAAUUUAACAUCUUUCUGUAAUAAACAGGUCAUUGGAGAAGCUAUCAUAGAAAACCCUUGUACAAAUCUCCGAUAAUAACCAGCUAAACCCAAGAAACUUCUAACUUCAGAUACAUUUUUCGGUGGACUCCAAUUGACAAUAGCUGAAAUUUUACUCGGAUCUACCCUGAUGCCUUCUGCGGAUACAAUAUGUCCGAGAAAACCUACCUCUCGAAGCCAAAAUUCACAUUUACUGAAUUUAGCAUAAAGUUUCUUUUCACGCAGAAUUUGCAACACUAUUUUCAAAUGUUCUGCAUGCUCAGUUUCAUCCCGAGAAUAAACUAAAAUAUCAUCAAUAAAAACUACUACAAACCUAUCUAGAUACGGUCUGAAUAUCCGGUUCAUCAAAUCCAUGAAUACUGCAGGUGCAUUAGUCAACCCAAACGGCAUAACCAGAAACUCAUAAUGCCCAUACCUGGUUCUGAAAGCUGUCUUUGGCACAUCUGGCUCUUUUACCCGUAACUGAUAAUAACCCGAUCGGAGAUCAAUCUUUGAAAAUACUGUGGCACCUUUUAGUUGAUCAAAUAAGUCAUCAAUUCGAGGAAUGGGUACUUAUUCUUUAUAGUUACCUUAUUAAGCUGCCGAUAGUCAAUACAUAGUCUCAAAGACCCGUCUUUCUUUUUCACAAACAGAACUGGAGCACCCCAAGGUGAAUGACUCGGACGAACAAAACCUCUGUCAACAAGUUCCUGUAACUGUGCCUUUAACUCUUUUAAUUCUGUAGGAGCCAUACGAUACGGAGCUAUGGAAAUUGGGGCAGUUCCCGGAAUCAGAUCUAUAGAAAAUUCCACUUCUCUUUCUGGUGGCAACCCUGGUAACUCCUCUGGAAAUACAUCAGAAAAUUCACAUACAACUGGCACUGCCUGUAUCUUUGACUCAGAUACCUUAGUAUCCAACACAUAUGCCAAAUAAACAUCAUACUCUUUUCUAACACACCUCUGAGCUGUCAUAACUGAAAUCAUAUCGGAUAAUCCCUCUGUCUGAUUAGAUUUAUCCCAAAGUAAUUCUCCAUUCUGGCAUUUCAACACAACAUAUUUUUGUCUACAGUUUACUACUGCAUCAUGCUGAGUUAACCAAUCCAUGCCCAAUAUCACAUCAAACUCAUCAAAAUGCAAUAACAUCAAGUCAACCGGGAAACAAAUACCUUUUACCAUCAGUGGACAAUUUUUACAAACUUUAUCCACUAUCACAAACUGGCCCAGGGGGUUCGAGACUUUAAUCAUAAAUUCAGUAGGUUCAACAGACAAAUUUUUAACAAAUGCUAAUUUUGUGCAUAUAUAUGAAUGUGUAGAGCCAGGAUCAAUUAAUGCAAUAACAGUAGUGUAGUAGGCCAAUUUUGGCUCACUAAUACCAAACCCCAUACCCCCACUACAACAGCCCCAUACCUCCACUACAACAGUCCCAUACCGUCUGACACCCCCACCACCAACACCGGCCAUACCCUGCAAACACAAACAACAAAAAAGGCAGCCACAACAGAGGAAUAAGGGCAUUUUUAUUGUUAUUGUAAUCGAUUAUAAAACCGAAGGGAGAAAUUUUGAAAGCAGGACGGAUUGUAUUUUGGAAAAGGGGGGUUUUUCGUUGUAAAAGACAUACAUCAAAAAUCAAAUACAGAACUAAGAUUGGAAAAAGGUUGUUCUUCUUUUAAAAAAUUUUUGUUCUCUUCGUUCUCUUUUUCAUAGUUUUUGUUUUUCUGUUCUUUUCUUUUAUUUCAAAUCUAUUUAAAAGUAAUUAAAAAACAAAAAAAGGAAAAAAGAAGGUUACCUGAAUCGGCCCCUAGGCCCGCCGUCGAUGGUGAUUCGCCGUCGCCGAAUGUGGGUUCAAGGAGGGGCCAAAGUUCUUCUCUUUCCCCUCGUCUCUUCGUUCCAUGGCCUCGUCCCAUGAGCGCGUUUCAAGGCGCCGAUAGGAGCCUUCUUUGCACAGCUCCGAUCACCGGACAGCGAAGGCAUGGCGGCGGCGGGGUUUCAAUCUUGGAACCCUAGCAGAGGAGGGAGUUUCCCUUUAUUUUUUCUUUUUUUUCUUCUUGCGUUCUGUAAAGAAUGAAGCAGCAGAAAAAAUAAAGCAAUUUUUUUAGUUUUUAUUUUGAUUUGUGAUACGGCGCCGUUUAAAGGGGAGACCUGCGCACUUUGCCCUAAUGGUUUAUUUGCGCUUUUGGUCCCUCUAGCUCUGCGACACGUUCCAUGUAGCCUUUCAAUUCUUUUAAUCUUGGCCGCAUAUUUUUUCGUCUGCUCCAAUUUAGUCCGCGCAUAAAUGCGGCGCUUCAGGACUUGGGCAUAUUUCCCGAUCAGUCCUCCGUACUUUGCGCGCGCCUCAUUUCAGUCUCCCAGCCUUUAAAUAUCUCAUAUUUCAGCCCCAAAUCAUUUUAUUUGUUUGCAAUUCGCCCCAAAUUUUAGUUUAGUUUUCAAUUUAAUCCCUUAUUUGUUAUUUUAGUUAUUUUAUCAUUAAAUUAGUUAUUUUAACAUUAUUAUUACUAUUAUAUUACAUUACUAUUAUUAUUGUUAUCUAUUUAUUUAUAUUUAUAUUUAUUUAAAUUUUCGGUACAUAUAUAUACUUAUAUUUUUAUAUAUUUUACAACUUAUGUACAUACCUAUAUAUUUAUAUACAUAUUUUCAUUUUCAUAAAUAUAUACACGUACACAUUUUUCUCUAAUAUAUAUAUGUAUAUAUAUAUACUCAUAUACAUUUCUUACUAUAUCUUAUAAUUUAUAUAUAUACACGUAUAUUUUCUCUAUUUAUUUUAAAUAUAUUUUUUGUAUUUCAUAUUUUCUACAUGCAUAUAUAUAUACUUAUCUAUUUACAUAUUUUAACUCAUAUACCUAUACAUGUAUACAUAUUUACAUAUAUUUUUAUAUUUAAUAAUCUCACAAUACGUAUACGUACAUAGAUUUUUCAUAUUUUCAUAGUUUUGUGUACAUUCAUGUAUAUACGUUCUUUACAUUUAUUCGUUAUUUAUUUAUUUAUCUUCAUUUUCAUUAUUAUUUAUAUUUAAUAAUCUUAUUUUCGUUGCUAUUACUCGUGUUGUUUUUAUGCCAUCAUAUUCGUUAUUGUUUUGUCAUGCAUUAACACCAAACAUCGAAAGGAAAGUUUUUUCUAAAUAAGGCAAUAUUUCGCGUUUGGAAAAUCGAGAAAACGUGCCCUAACGUGCUGGGUUUCGAUUUCUCGUUCGACUAAAUAGCCAAAUAUCCUCUUAAAGCUUCAAAGUAUGGUUUCAUUAAACUAUAAGGUGAUCUUGGUUUCGAUGGUUUAGAGUAUCGUGUCCUAACGUGCUGGAUGUGAUAUUCCUUCGGAACAAGAGAAUCUUAUAUUUCAAUUCACGUUACCAGAGUUUCUUUUAAGGAUCGUAUUUUUUUAAAAACUCUUCGAAUUUUCAAUUUUCGACAGUAAGACACUAAUUAAUCAACUAGGUACCAAUUUUGGGCGUAUCGAGGGUGCUAAUCCUUCCUCGUGCGUAACCGACUCCCGAACCCGUUUUUUUUUAAUUUCAUAGACCAAAAUCUUUGUUUUAAUAAAAAUUAAAUCGUUUAUUAAAAACAACCACUUUUCAAGGUGACCCGAUCACACCUCAUCAAAAAAGGAUUGGUGGCGACUCCCAUUUUUUGUUUUAUUUUUAAAAUUCAAGUCGACCCCGUUUUCAUCCAAAAAAUGGUGUCAACAAGUAGUAUCAUAGAGAGAAAAUGUACCCGCAAUUACAUCAGGAGAGGACGCCUCUUCACGAGCUCGAAUAGCAUAUGAUCUUGCAGGUGCUCUAACAUCUGAUCUAACCGCUGAAUCUUUGAAUGCACCCCUAUUACUUGCCCCCACUCCUGGGUUUCUCUGCGGUCUACCUCUGGUAGGAGCAUUACCUGAUCUCGCACUCGUUAUUUCUUCUCUUUUAGUUGUUUCAGGACAAUCCCGAAUAAAGUGAUCGGAUGCUCCACAUCUGAAACAAACAUUUUCACCUGCUCUACACUCUCCGGGGUGGCGUCUCCCACAUUGAGGACAUUCCGGUCUAGGAGGUCGAGUACUGCCAGUACUUGCAACUGUAGUGGUUUGAGCUCUAAAACCCUUGAAUCUUCUACUUCUGCUUCGGCCAGAAUAUAUAUGUGGAAAAUGUGAUCCGCUAGAGAGCUCCCUAGGCCUCUUAGAUGUAGACUGAAAUGAUUUACUCAUUUGCCUCUUCUUUGUAUCCUGCGCUCCAGCUUCAGCUUUGCUCUUCUCUUUUUCUUUUAACAAGUCUUCUACUUUACAAGCUCUUUCUACCAGAACAACAAACUCUCUGAUUUCCAAUACACCCACUGAUAGUCGGAUGUCAUCAUUAAGCCCAUCUUCAAAUCUCUUGCACAUGUUGGCUUCGGUGGAUACAAAUUCCCGAGCAUACUUACUAAAUCUGACAAAUUCGCAUUCAUAUUCAGUCACGGACAUCUUACCUUGUUUUAGCUCAAGAAACUCCUUCCUUUUCUGCUCUGUAAAUCUCUGGCUGAUGUACUUCUUUCGAAACUCCUCCUGAAAGAAAUCCCAAGUAACCCUCUCACUCGGUACGAUAGACACGAGAGUCUUCCACCAAUGAUAAGCGGAAUCUCUGAGAAGUGAGACCACACACUUCAUACAUUCUUCCGGUGUACAAGAUAAUUCUUCAAAAACCCUAAUGGUAUUCUCAAGCCAGAAUUCUGCUUUUUCUGCAUCGUCAUCUUUGGUAGCCCGAAAUUCUUCAGCCCCUUGCUUCCUAAUCUUAUCAACAGGUGGUCUCUCCCUGAUAAAUAUACCUGCAGCUGGGGAAGCUACAUGGGGAACCUGUGAAUCUUGAGGGGGUGGAGGUCUUACAGCCGGAUUCGUACGAACGAACUCGGCAAACCAAUCAGUCAUGGCUUGGAAGAAGGCUUCUCUAGCUCCUCCUCCCUGUCUAUCUGAUGCAGGUCUUUCACUAACAUUAACAUCUGAUGGCACCGUCCCUUCUGCGGGAAUAGGUGCAUUACUCUCUACUUCAUCUGUACUAGCUCGUUCAGGAUCCAUAACUAUAAAAGAAAACAUUUUAAAAUCGUCAGGAGUCGUCACACUAUCAAAAUAUAUAAGUAUGGCAUGUAUAGGUAGACUCUUAUUCUUACUGAGUAUUUCCGAGAACCGACUAAACCUGCUCUGAUACCAAUAAAAUGUAACACCCCUUACCCGAGACCGUUUCCGGAGUCGAGCACGAGGCAUUACUUAGCUUAUCUUACCAAUUCGGAGCAUAAAAACUAGGUUUGAAAAUUUAUUUCAUUAUUCGCAGCAAAUCUGUCCAAUCGCGCAGCAGUUACUAAAUUAAUUAUAACUUGAGAUACAGAACUCGAAAUUUAAUUCCGUAAAUUUUCCCUGAAACUAGACUCAUAUAUAUACUCACCAUAAAAUUUUUAGAAUUUUUGGUUCAGCAAAUUAGUACAGUUUAUUAGUUAAAGUCUCCCCUGUUACACCACCUGACUGCCCUGACCUCUAGUCACUAAAAAUAAGUUUUCUCACUGUAGGAUUUUCAUAUGAAGUUCUCACUUUUUUCUACAGAAAAUAGACUCAUUAAGAAAUCUAAGCAUGUAAAUUUCAACCCAUAACCAUUUUUUUACAAUUUGUAAUUAUUUUCUAAACUCAGAACAGGGGACUCCAAAAACAGUUCUGACCCUAUCUUACUAAAAUUCACAUAUCUUAAAAUAUAAAUUUCCUUUUUCUACACCGUUAUUUUUCCAUGAAAAUAGACUCAACAAGCUUUAAUUCCAUAUAUCAUUCACCCUCUAAUUUAUUUUAUACUAUCUUGGGUGAUUUUUCAAAUUCACGUCACUGUGCUGCCUGAAUUCUGUUUCUUUGCAAAAUUUUAUCCUUUCAUGAUUUCCAUGCAUAAUUUAUCACCUAAUCUUUCAUAACAACAAACACCUUCAUCCUUAACCAUUUUAAUAACCAUACAUCAUCAAAUACUUACACAUCACUCAUUAGCAAAAUCAUCAUUACAAACAUACAAAAUAACUAAAUCCCUAUACAUGCCAUAACUCAAACGUGUUUCGAUAUAAAAUAUCGAGCAGUUGUAGUUGAUAGUGUGGACGAUCUCCGACUUCUUUAGGAUCCUUGAAGUAGCUUUGCAAUACUAUAAGAGAAAGAGAAAUAAAAGAAGUAAGCAUAAAGCUUAGUAAGUUUACUAGCAAAUAAAUAACAAUAUUUAACUUAAAUAAUUAAACUCAAUGUCUAUAUCUCUAGUUUACUCUUUAGUUAAUCUCAUACUAGUUCUCUUACUUGUUUACUUAGAAUACUUGUGUGCAUAACUUACUCAAUCCUUGCUGCAUCGUUGAACAUCAAUUGAUAGUAUAAUAAGUUCUUAAGUCUUACAACUUACCUGAGCUUGCCAUUUAUGCUUUAAACUGAACUUUCAAGAACAUGAUUCGUUUACAAGCCCGUUGAGCUACAUUGGAAUAAUAAGGAUACUCGGGUCUCUUCUGAUAAUAACAUGCCAAAGCCAUGUCCCAGACAUGGUCUUACAUGGGAUGUUCUCGUAAUGGUGCCCAUGCCAUGUCCCAGACAUGGUCUUAUAGGGGACCUCUCAUCUCGGUGCCAACGCCAUGUCCCAGACAUGGUCUUACAUGGGACCUCUCGUCUCGGUGCCCAUGCCAUGUCCCAGACAUGGUCUUACAGGGGACCUCUCAUGAUCUUAAGGAUGCCAAUGCCAUGUCCCAGACAUGGUCUUACAUGGGAUCUCUUUACCCAAAUGUCAUGACAUUCGUAUCCAGUACCAUCCUUAUGUAUCAACGGGACUUUUAAAUUUUAAUUCUCUAUCAUUUCAUGCUUGGAUCAUCAUCAAAUAAAUUCAUAAAAUAAAUUCAUAAUUGCUGGAAAUUAACAGCAUUAAUAAUAAAUAUUGAAAUAUUGCAUUUAUUUACCGUAAAAUUACCUCGGUACCAAUUAUAGCUAAAUUCACCAACUUAGUCUUCAACUUUAUUCUUCCCUUUGUCUAACCUCGAGUUUCGUACUUCUUGAUCUAAAAUAGUAAAUUUAACUUAUUUAAUAAUCACAUUCAUCAAAACAGCCCUCGACUCUAACUUUUUCAAAAUUACAAUUUUGCCCCUAAACUUUUACAUAAUUACAUUUUUGCCCCAAGGCUCGGAAAUUAAACUUCAUCUCUUAUUCUUAUGUUUUAUAACAUUCUGAACAUUUUUCCCUUUUAUGGCAACAUCAAAUUCCCACUCUAACAUGUACUUAUGAACAUUAGGUAUUUUUACCGAUUAUGUCGUUUUACUCGUUUUCACUUAAAAUCGCUUAGCAAAAGUUGUUUAACAUAAUUUCUAGCUUCAUAUUCUAUCAUAAAACAUCAAAAUAAACACUUUUCACCUAUGGGUAUUUUUCCAAAUAUAAACCCUAGGUUAAAUUAUUGCUAGAAUAAGCUAAAUUAAGCUACCGGGAUCUCAAAAACGUAAAGAACAUUAAAAACGGGGCUUGGGAUCACUUACUAUGGAGCUUGGAAGCUUGAAAACCCUAACUAUGGCUUCCCCUCUUGCUGAUUUCGUUCAUAUGAAGAAGAUGAUGAUUUUUGCCAUCUUUUUCCCUUUUAAUUCAUUUUAAUUACUAGAUUACUAAAUUGCCCCUAACUUAAAAAUUUUCUAUUUCACUUAUCUCAUGUCCAUUUUUGUCUACCAAGUUACCAAUGGUAUAAUUAUCAUAUAAAGACCUCCAAUUUAAAGUUUCAUAACAAUUGGACACCUCUAACAUGUAGAACUCAACUUUUGCACUUUUUACAAUUUAGUCCUUUUGACUAAAUUGAGUGCCCAAACGUCGAAAUUUUCGAACGAAAUUUUCAAAAAUCAUUUUGUGAAAUUUUAGAUCAUAAAAAUAUAAGAAAAAUAAAAUUUUUCUCAUCGGAUUUGUGGUUCCGAAACCACUGUUCCGAUAACCUCAAAUUUGGGCCAUUACAAUUUAAUUUUAAAAAAAAUAUUUUUUAUACAAGUUUAAGUUAUAAUUUUUUUUAUAUUACAAACCUAAACACAUAUGAGUGCUGGAUUUUUAUGACCAAAGAUUUAUUAUAUUAUAAAUCUUUAAAAAAUAUUAAAACAAUUAUUUAUAUGUACUUUAUAAAAUUCUAAUAAAAAAUAUUAUUUAAAUCUUAAAUUUUUAAAGUUAUAACCCAAAGUUUAUUAUAAAAUAUUAGUUACAUGUUGUUAUAAUAUAUUUAUUUAUAAAAAGUUAUGACAAAAAAGUAUGGACAUAACUUAUUAAUGUGUCUAUGCUAUAUAUUAUAAAAAAUAAUAUACUGAUUCGUAAAAAAAAAUGUUAUGUUUUUUAUCAUAACUUAUUGGUAGAAAGAAUAACUUUAUAAAGUUAUGACAAAAAAUUAUAUUAUUCAUAAGAAAUGUUAUGAAAGUUAUUCGACACUUUAUAAAACUUUUUUAUAAAGGUUAUAUAUAUUAUAAAUUUUAUAUUAUCUUUUAAUUAAUUUAUUUUUUGCAAAAAGGGUUAUAACAUAGUAUAAUUUUUCAAAUUAAUUUUAUAUAAAUUUCUAUGAUUAAAGUUAUAAACCGUAAACUCAAAUAUUAUAUGGUAGAUGUUAAUUAUGCAAAUACAAAAUUUUUUUUUCAUCAUAUUGUGAGGUAUAAUACUAUUUGAAAGAAUUGAGCUAGACACAAGUACUAGAGACAUUUAAAUAUUUGAAAUAUAGUUCAGAUGAAAUUUGUUGUUAUAAAAAAAUAUUUCCCAUAUUAAUAACACCAUCUUAGUAUAACAUAAAAAAAGGUUGGAUCGUACUACAUACUUCAUAACUUCAUUCAUAGGUAGAUUUGGGAUUAUCCAUACUUCGAAGAGUACAUGGAAGAAAAAAGAUAUUAAUAAUCUUAAUGAUACAGGUUAAAAAUCAAAUAAUGAUGAAAUCAAUCAAGGACCAACAUUUGAUGAAAAAGAGUUUAUAUUAAACAUUAAAAAGGGAAUAACGCAACAAAUAUGAAACACUAGAACAAUUAGACAAAAUUUUAUGUGAUGUUUAUUUUUAUUAUUAAUCGUAUUAUCAACUACUUUGUUGGACAAUCAUAAUGCAUAUGAUGAUUUUUUUUUUAUUGUGCUAAUAAUUUUUAUUGUAAUUAAUAUUUUUAAAAAUAUAAAUUAUAUAAUUGUGUAAUUACAAUUUGUACUACUAAACAUAACAUAAGAAAUUACAAUGUGAUUACAUUUUGUCAGCCAAACACAUAUAAGAAAUUAUAAUUCUUUAUAAUUAUGAGAGAGUAUAAUUAAUAGGAGAGUAAUUGCAUUUUCAUUUAAUUGCUCCGUGCUAUUCAAACAGAUAUUUAUAAAAUGCGAUUUGACUUUUUUUAAAAGACUAAUGAUCAAAUACAGCUAAAAAAAGAAUAAAGGUCUAAUUGACAAAAGAUAUAAACAUUAAGGGUUAAAUUUACAUUAUGAUUAUAUUUUACCUAAAUAAAACUACAUUUGUUUUAAAUGAUUUUAAUAUAUGAUAAAUUUGAUCUUCAAAUAUAUUAAUUGGUUUAUUUUAUAUAUAGGAAUUAAAUUUGUAAAUGAGGAAAUUCGAUCAAUUGGGCUACAAAAUUUAGACAAUGCAAGAUUUGGUGAAGUAGGAUAAAAAACAGAAACAUAAAUAUAAAAAAUCAUUCAUGCACCAACGGUAUCAUAUUUUACAUCCGAAUAUUUGAUCCAAUGACAAUUUCAUUUUUUUUCAAACAAUCUUUUUCUUUUAAGAACCCAACUUCAUCAUCUCACUCAGUCACUCGACAUGUCUAUCCAUGUUUAAUCAAGAUUUAUGAAAGUGAAUAAUUUCCAAUAACUUCCAAAACACCCAAUUCCUUGUUUAAUGAGGAGUCUUUUAGAUGGAGUUCCAUCAUUCAAUUUGCUAAUCACUGGACAAUGAGAUGCUAACUAAAGUUAUAGUUGCUGGCUUUGCUAGAUUGUCUGUAUAUAUAUAGAUGAUAUAGAUUAUGUCAAUUCAAAUUUGAAGUUUUCUAAGGAUGGUAAUGAGUCGGGAAGGGAAGUAGAAAGUUGUGUAAUUAACAAGAUUUAUUAAAUACAAAAAUUUGGAAAAAAUUAUGAGUAGAAAUAAACAUUGUAUCAAAAUUAACUACUACAAGCCAUCGACGUAAACUAAUAAUAAAUUUUGUUGAGAAAAACAUUAAAACCUAUUUCAUCUUCCUUAAAUAAUAUUUUAACCCCAGAAACACAUAAACAAAACUCGGGAUUUAUUUUCAUCUCUCAAUACUACAUUUACAAACAGCAUCCAUUUAUUGAAAUUCAUUAGCCAACCGAAAUGGACAUUACUGUUAAAAACAUAUAUAUCGAAGGACAAGGGUUUUGUUUGAUUUCCCAACUAGACAAAACUUAAUCUGAUUAAUUCCUCAUACGUGAUUAUAAUAAUUCAAGAACAACCCACUUUAAAUUGUUUAUUUAACAUGUGAAGUGGUAGGAUCCGAUUUGUUUUGAGAAGGAAAGAUUUUUUGUCUUAUCUUACUAACAGAUUUUGUAAUUAUAUAGAAAUUAAUGUUUUUUUUUAGUUAUUAUUCAAUGAAAAAAACUCCACACAUGCCAAAUAUUCUUUUAAUUAUUUUAUUAAUUAAUUGCAUCAACAGUAAAAGGAUUUACACGCUAAACAAAGGAGGACAUAAAUGAAAAAAUAUAAAUCGGAGCCUCGCCUCCACAUAAUAAACUUUUCCAUAUGAGACCUCCCUCAGUUAUCAAUGGCACAAGGCUUCACCUGCUUCAGAUGAGUGAUAUUGUGCAACACAUGAAUAGACAUUGGAGAGAGAAUAAAGUCUUACAUUCUACACCUCCAACCUUCAAACUCAAGCUUCAUUUUAAUUUAAAAAAGUAGAUGAGUUUGGUGUAUAUGCUCUUUUUUACUCUUUCAAACACUCAUUUUUCAACUAUCAUUUCAAAUGCCUCAAUCAUUGCUCGUUGCCUCCCCCAAUUCAAAUGGAAACACAUUAAACAACAAAUAUAAAGAGGAGAAAGCGAAAUUUGAGUGCGUUCUCAUGCAUGAUUCAUCUCCCAUUACCCAUUUUUCUGGUUUCUUAGAAUUUUCCCAGAGUUUUCCAGGAAUUUAUAUAUAUAUAUUUAUUGAACAAUAUUGUAGCAGACACAUUUAUUAUUUGAGAAUGCAAUAUUGUGGAGUAGAUUAUAAUUUCCUUUUUUCAAGCUGGGUGGAGUUGAGCCACAUUUACUGCCGCUUGAGGUGACAUUUUUUAAUUUGCUUGUUUUUACUGUACAAGCGUGUGAGUGCCAACGAGUUUAAUUAUUGUCUAAUCUUAAUGAUAUUAUAAUUUAAUUGCUUUCAAAGGUAAACAAUUAUGCCAUCUAGAAUUAUAUACUGGAAUCCUAUCCAUUUAGUGCGAUUUUCAGCAUAUUUUAUUCAGAUUUUGGUGUAAAACAAAUUUUCUAGCUCAAUUAACUGGGGAAGUUUAACCCAAAUCCAUGCAAAAUUGAAUGUAGUUGUAAUAGAUGCUCCAUCAUUAUUAAUGAGUGAAAAUAUUAUUACUAGACUUCAAGUGGUAGAAUUCUCAACACAGUUAAAAUAUAAAACUCCAACCUUCAACAAAGUGGAUAUUUUUCUCGCAUUUAAAUACCAAAAAUCUUACUUUCCUUUAAUUACAAUCAAUAUUAAAUAAUUAAAAAUUAAGUAUAUUUCAACUGAAAAUACAAAAUUAUUUUGGAGAAAAAUGGGACAGCAUAAAAUUUCCUUAAAAGAUGCAAUAAGAAACCACCAGACGCCCUCAAUGAAUGAAAACAAAUUAAAUACCUCAGAGAUGUGGAAACACUCGUGGCUUCCAUUUAUAAAUGUUAAUUUCUUGAAUGAAUGAAUAUAACAAGAUUUACCCACAUCUUCCACCAACCAUAAAUAGCCUUAGCAACGUCAUCAUCUUCAUCCCUUAAUCUUGUAAGAUGAUGUAACAUUUUGUGCACUACGGCUUUGAUUGGAAAAAUAUUUGCCAUUUUUUUAUAGUGAUCUUUCUUAUCAUAAUGAAAUAUAUAUAUAUAGUUAAUUUUUAUAAAUAUGCUAAAAAAAACAAUUGAGAAAGUAAGUUGAAAAUUUUAAAAUUUAUUAAUUUAUGUUGUUUUUGGAGAAAGAAAGGAAAAAGUGUCAUAUAGGGUACGCUUUCACUUAGAUAAAAAUUAUUAUUUUUUCUUGUGAUUGAAAAUUAGAAGUUUGUAGAUUUAUUUUUGUCUGUGUUUUAGAUGGACAUGAUUAUAGUUUUAAGGAAUGUUUGAAUUUACGGUGGUGCCAUGGAGCAAGGUGACCUACAAAUUUCAUUUGCCAUAUGAGUAUACAGUAUCAGGUUGAAUUGUAACUAGAGCUUUAAGUUUACAAAUGCUAUGUUUUCAAGGUUAUGCAGACACAACAACGAUUUCUUCUCAUCAGAAGAGUAUUUUUUGUACAACUCAUACACAAAUAUGAGGAUGAAAAACACUAUGAUGUUUCAGUAUAAUCAAGUAACGUGUCUUAUCUAUUACCACUGAAGGUGAUGACCCCAUUAUUAUAAUAUGUGAUAGAAUUGGGGUGUAACAGGUUAUACUAACAAGGUCACCGCCUUCGGUGGAGAUGGACAACAUGAAUUACUUGAUUAUAAUGGAAAUCUCCUUGCAUUUUCCUUCCUCACAUUUAUGUAUGGGUUUUAUAAAGCAUGCUACUCUAUCGAGGAGAAACUCGUUGUCAUGUCCGCAUUAGUGGCAUCAACUACGGCCCCAGUUAUGCUUCAUCCUUUAACAGCAUAACAUGAGUACAUUGUGCAUAGUAUUUCUUUCAUGUAUAAUAGUUUAACAUACACAUUUGGUAUUAGAAGUUGUAUAACUCAAAUUCCUGAUAAAACAAAUACAAGUGACAAGAUAAGAGAAUCUAAGAGGUAAGAUCCGUAUAGAAGUUUACUUCUUCUAUUUGAUGUUGAUUAGAAUAAGGUGUUUUAAUAUUACUGCAUUACAUCUAUUUGACUUUUAUUAGAAUAAGAUUUUCUAACCUAUAAAUAGACGUAAUUGUCUCUCCUUUUGUAUCAUUCAAAUUUGACAUAGUGAAUUUUCUUGUCUUCUACCCGUGGUUUUUUCUUGAAAGAGUUUCCACUUAAAAUUUAGAGUGUUCUAUUUUUUUCUUUUUCUUUGCAAUUUAUUGACAUUAUCGACGUUCUGUUUUCACAUUUGGGACACUUUUCUUGAAUGCAAUAAUGUUUGUCAUCGAUAGGGUACGAGCUCGUCCAACAUCGAUUCCAUGAAAUGUUUGAGAGACUACGGGUUGUAAACUGAUUGGGUACGGAGUACUUCAAUGGGGUACCGAAAGAGUAGUGGACACAGUCGUAUGAUGGAGGACUACGAUAAAAACACAUGACCACGAACCCAGAGGAAUGCAUUAAUUCUGUACUGAAGGGGACGCAUCAUUUGCCGGUAACCUCGGUGGUUAAGGAAACGUAUUUUCGAUUAGCAAGCUUGUUUUCAAAGCGGGUUCAGACAUACAUAGGACAUAUAAAGGGUAGCCACAUUUGGCGCACGUUGAUGCUGAAAGAUAUUGGGGAAAAUGUAGAAAUUGCGAACUCAAUGAGUUGAGACAAAUUACCUGGAGAUAUAGAUGGAGUAUUCCAAGUGAAGCAGUCCUAUAGAGCCGACUGUGGAGUUAUCGAUGGAGCAUAUCGCAAAGACUUGAGACAAAUUCCCUACGACUGUAGGAGAUUUCAAGCACUUCGUUAUCCAUGCGCACAUGCAAUUGUGGCAUGUGCAUCGACACAUUUAGAUUGCAUGACCUAUGUUGACUAAGUUUACAAACUUGAACACGCAUAUAAUGUAGUGAUAAAUUUAACUAAUCCUCAAAGUAUAAUAGCAAGUAUCAUUUAAAAUAAAAUAUAGUGAUAAAUUUCAUUAUUCACCUAUAAUAUGGUGAUAAAUUUAUCCCUUUUACAUAAUAAGAAAAAAAAUAGUAGAGAUUAUCCAAGAAUCAAACCUCAUCUUGUAGAUAGAGUUUACAUUUAAAAUACAAAAUGUUUGGAAUAAUAAAUUUAUUCUCAAUGGUGCUUUAUAAUUACAAUUAAAAAUGCUAUUUUGGGUUGUGAUUAAGGACUUAUAUGUAUGUUCCCAAACACGACCUUGACCUUUUCUAGGGUUUGACCGACCUUGGCCUUUUACUAGGUUUCGGCCGACCUUGACCUUUAGCGUAUGGGAAAGUCAAGUUUAUUGUUUACUUUUUAUUUGUUUAAUUCUAAAUGAUAACCACAACUUUCCUAUUCCAAAAUCUUAGAAUUUCUUACAUCUUAUUUCAAAAAGUCUGUCAUAAAGCUAGAAUUUAUAUUUAAUUGAUUUAAUAAUAUAAUAUGUUGCUUCUGAUGAUAUUAUUGAAAGAAAUAAUUGUAAAUCUGAAAAAAAUUUAAUUUUUAUAAAUUAUAAAACAGAAAUGAAAGAUAUAUCAAUUAAACAUUACUUUGCGGAUUCACUGCUAAUUUAAGUAAUUAAUUAACUAUAAUUCCAUUUAAAUGACGGCAAGCUGAGCUUACAAAAUCUCUUGAUGAUGUAAUGAUUGUAGAAAUUGAAUGUAAAAGGAUAAUCACAAUAAGAAAGAGUAACCAUCACGAACUGAGAAAUGGAAUUUUAUUAUUAAUAUAUAAAUAGAUCUCUUUAUUAACAUAACCUAGCUAAAAUUUUCAACUUUAUUCUACGAUGUGGUGUUUUAAUUAAAAGUCUCAAUAAAUUUGAAGUUUAACUUAAUUAUUUUUAAGAGAUGAAAAUUCAAUAAAUUUAUAAGUCUUCUUUUUUUAUAUUUUAAACUUAUAAUUUCUUAAUUUCGUAACCUAUAUUCUCCACAUUUAAAAAAAAAACCCCUUAAUAAUAGUGGCCAUGCAAGUUUCAACAUUCAAGUUAUUGCCCGUUGACUUCUCCAAGCUUUAAUUACCAUUUGUCAAAUAACAUAAAUACUUAUCAAAUUUGUCAAACAUUCUUGUAAUAUUAAAAUAUAGUUUUUCAAGAAAUAUUAAUGCAUAUAUAUAUAUAUAUCCACACACAUUAGAGUGGUCCUCGACUCACUUUUAUGUUGGGAUAAUUAUUUUUUCUCGUAAAAAUUUAAAUUUUUAUAUUUUUUACAUUUUAUUUUAAUACCUAUUUUCUUUACUUUUCAAGAAUUUAAUCUCUUUAAUUAAUUUAAAAUUUAAGUCAAAAUUUUAACAACUUUAAAUAUUUUUGUUAAAUGCAUUAUCAUAAUUAAUAAAAAAAAACUCACUUGAUAAUUAUGUAAUAAAAAAUUGACGUAAGGAUUGGAUAGAGGUUAUGAAUAAAAAUGAAAAUGAGACACUGAUGCUCACAAGCUACUCAAGUUCGUCUAAAAAAAAUUGAACUCAAUUCGAUAAUUAUUGAGCUAUUGAUCAAGUCAAAUUCAAGCUUAAUAAUACUUGACUUGAACAACACGCAACGUUAUUAAACUUUUCUUAUUUUUAUAUUAUUAAAUCAUGUUAUUUUCUUUAAUAUAUUAUUAACACUAAGCUUAAUUAUUGAGUUGAGCUUGAGCACAAAAAUUGGUAAACAAACUUAUCAAGCUCCAAAUUUCAAGUCAAGCUUGAGCUUAAGCUUGGUAGUAUUCGGGCACAACUCAACUCAAUUGCAACCCUAAUUAUAAAUAGUUAUAGGUAUUGUAUAAAAAAAUAAAUGUUAACAAUUUUAAAAAUUCAUGUAAGUAUAAAAUAUUUGGAUUAACUAAUAACAUUACAAAAUUUAAGAUAUUAAAAUAUGUCAAAAAUUAUAGUAUAAAAAUUAAAUUUAAAAAUAGAAUUUCAAAUUUAAAUACCAAAACUAAAAUUUGACCAUUACUACAUCAAACCAAAAAAAAAAAAUCUAUUAUUCAUGCCUUCCUAAAAAAAAAAUUCCCUUUAUUAUUUUCAUUCAAGGGUUGAUUAUAUAUUUAAUCUUUCCAAACAUAAAAGUGAAGUUAAUUAUAAUUAACUUUCAACUAAUGUUAUUUAUGUACCGUAAAACGGACAAAAAAAUAUAUAAAAAAAUAUAAUGUUAUCUUUUGAAGAGUUAAAUUGGGUUUUAAUUGGGGGAUUAAAAGUGAUUAAAAGAUAAUUAGUUGAAACAACGUUUAUCACGAAAAACGUGUAAACGUGUGAGAGCGCAAUGUAAUAAUAUGACCACCAGUUGACUGCAAAGUACAAACACAACAGCUUUUCAAAGUUUUAUUGUAUAGUUUUCUAUGAUACAACGUGGAAAUGCCUCAGCAGAUUAUCCAGUCUUGACAUUUAACUGUCAAUAACAGCAAAGGCAAUUAUGGUUCAAUAUACAGUUGCACCCACUAAACCAUGUUUUAAUUCAAUCCACCACCACUUUUGUAUUUAUAAUCAUUUCAAUUUUGACUUACUCUUUGGUUGGAUUCGAAGCAACCAAUGUUAACAGUGUGGGAGAUGAAUCAGCUAUGCCCUCCAAAUCAAACAGGGGUCAAAACGGAGAUAUAUAAGUUAACGGGCUUGAAUUCAUAGGAGUCCUAGGUUAUUACUGUUGCUUUUGAAAAUUUUUAUCUUGUUAAAAAGAGUUUAUAGUAAUCUAAAAAUAUUGUAAAGUAAAAAGUAUAUUCCCUUACCAAUUUCAAGUGGAUUAUUUACUUAAACAAAAAUUUACAUCUAAUUUAUUUAUAAAUUUUGAAAAGAAGUUACAAUGUCUAGAUUUAUUGAUUAUAAAAAAAACUCUUUUCAUUAUUUUUUUUAAAAGUGCUUUGAUUUAAGCAUCGUCUAGACUUGAUUUAAAAAGAUGUAGUUUGCGUCAAGGGUUGUCAAGAUUUAAUCUUGAAACUGGAUUUGGAGAGAUGCUCGCUUGAGAAUUUGAUUUGAUUUGGAUUCAAGAGUAUUCUAGACUUGAUCUUGAAUCGAUGACGUGUAACACCCCUAAAAGGAUUGUAUGAAACAGUGACGCCACGUCAUCUGUAUCCCUUUCCAAUAGUUUUAUGCCAUAUUAGUAUUCUUAUCCUGAAUUUUAGAAUUUUAUCCUGAAUUUUAGUAUUUUAAUUUGAAUUUGAUUUUUUCAGGAUAAAAUCCUGAAAUUCAGGAUAAGAGUACUGAUGUGGCAUAAAACUAUUGGAAAGGGAUACAUAUGACGUGGCGUCACUGUUUCAUACAAUCUUUUCCCAAUCAAUAUAAUAUAAAAGUAGUAUUAAAUUGAAUGAUGUAUAAUUGAUUUUUUUGGUAAAGUGAGAAAAUGAUAAAAGAAAGGUUGAGUGAUACCAAGAAAAAAAAUUGAAUUAAGAAGUAUGUUGUGAUAAAUUAAUUUAAAACAAUGAUUAAAUUGUAAAUAUAUGAAAAGCUUCACUUGGAUUUAAGUUUUACACUGAAAAUAUGUUACAAACAUGUUUGUAGGGUUAAAAUAUGACUAGAAAAGGGUUCAAAUAAUUGAAUUUAGCCAGAAUUACUUCAGUGCUCAAAUGUGUCAUUCCUAUAUUCGACUUAGUAGUCAGGUCGGAUAUAGGGGUGUAACAGCCCGAUUUUGGGCCUAGUCGGAAUAGUGGUUUCGGGACCACAAAUCCGACGAGGGAAAAUAUGGUUAUUAUUAUAUUUUUAUGGUCUACAAUUUCACGGAAAAUUUUCGUAAAAAUUUCGUUCGAAAAUUUCGACGUUUGGGCACUCAAUUUAGUCAAAAUGACUAAAUUGUAAAUAGUGCAAAAGUUGAGUUCUAUAUGCAGAAGUAUCUAAUUGAUAUGAAAUUUUAAAUUGGAGGUCUUUAUGUGGUAAUUAGACCAUUAGUUAGUUGAUGGACAAAAAUAGACAUAAGAAAUGAGAGAAAUAGAUUUUUUUUUAAGUGGGGGCAUAUUAGUCAUUUGGUAAUAAAAAAAUUAAAAUGGGAAAAAGAUGACAAAAAUCAUCAUCUUCCUCAUUAGUUGCUGCCGAAAUUUGAAGGAAGCCAUAGCUAAGGUUUCUUUGCUUUCUCAAGCUCAUAGUAAGUGCAUCCUAGCCCCGUUUUUAAUGUUCUUCGCAUUUUUGGAAUCCUCGUAACUCGGUUUAGCUUAUUCUAGCAAUAAUUCGUGUUAGGGCUCAUAUUUGGAAAAAUACCCAUAGGUGAAAUGUGUUUAUUUUGCUGUUUUAUGGUGGAAUAUGAAGCUAUAAAUUAUGUUAAACAACUUUUGCUAAGCGAUUUUAAGCGAAAACGGGUAAAUAGGCAUAAUCGGUAAAAAUAAUUAUUGUUCAUAAGUGUAUGUUAGAGUGAGAAUUUGAUGUUGCUAUAGAAGGGAAAAAUGUUCAGCAUGUCAUAAAACCUAAGAAUAAGUGAUGAAGUUUAAUUUCCGAGCUUGGGGACAAAAGUGUAAUUAUGCAAAAGUUUGGGGGCAAAAUUGUAAUUUUUCAAAAAGUUGGGUGGUGGAUUAUUUUAAUGAAUGUGAACAUUAAAUGAGUUAAAUUUGCUAUUAUAGAUCAAGAAAGACGUGAAGAUUAUCUCAAACGAGGAAAAGAAAAGAUAGUGGAGUGAAGUGCAAAAUUACGAUAUUUUGCACCGAGGUAAGUAAACACGUGACUUGAUGUAUUAUUUUGACAUUAAUUGAUAUAUGUUGAGAUUUAUUUGGAAUUAAAAUAAAUGUUUGGCCAUAUCCUAAAAAUGUUGUUAAAUCGGGAAAGGUGGUAAAGGGUUGCAAUAUAUGAUUUAUGGGUUGAACACUCGGAAUAAGCCGAAGUAUGUUGUACAUAAAGGGGUUGCUGCGUGCUGAUUCCCCGAUUCAUUGGUGGUGCUAUGUGCGAUAUCCACCGUAUCUUUGAAAUGUGAAAGGGGGUUGCUAUGUGCUGAUUCCCCCGAGGGGUUGCUAAGUGCUGAUUCCCCGGUUCAUUGGUGGUGCUAAGUGCGAUAUCCACCGUAUCUCUGAAAUAAAAAGGGGGUUGCUAUGUGCUGAUUCCCCCAAGGGGUUGCUAAGUGCUGAUUCCCCGAUUAAGUGGUGGUGCUAAGUGCGAGAUCCACCAAUAACGGUCAACAUUCCGAGUGCUCAACGAAAAAGUGUGGAAGGUGAAUAUUGCCAUAUGGUGGAAAUUUUUAUGGGGCAAAUAUUGAGUUGGAUACUAAAUCGAUCCAUGUAUGAGAUGGGAGAAAAUAUCAAAAACGAAAAAAGGAACGAUUUAGUUAUAAACUGUGUUGAACAACAGCAGAUUGGUAACUUUGAAAAAUCACCAUAAAUGGUGGAAAAUGAAUGGGAAGCUGAAUAAUAUAUGAAAUUGAAGCUGAAUGUGUCUAUUUUCAUAUGAAAUAAAUAGAAUAAGCAAAAGAGUUGUAUUUUUGGAGAUAUCUGAAUUUUACUGAAACAGGGCUGGAUUGAUUUCGGGAUCCCCUGUUCUAACUUUGGAAAAUCACCAAAAAUUGUACAAAAAUAAUUAUGGUGUGAAAUUUAUAUUCCUGGAUUCCUUAUUGACUCUAUUUUUAAUAGAAACAAGCGAAACCAUUUUUAAAAUUUUUUACAGAGAGUUAAGUGAAUUUUUUUGAGGAAGGGUCAGAACCAUUGGGCAGUGAAACAGGGGAAGUUUUAAUGAAUAAACUGUACUAAUUGGCUGGGUAAAAAAUUCUGAAAUUUUUAUGGUGAAAUGGUAUAUGAGUCUAGUUUCAGGGAAAAUUUACGAAACUCAAUUUGGAGCCCUGUAGCUCCGGAUAAAAAUAAAUUAUCGACUAUGACGCAGAAAAAUAGUUUGCUGGAAAUUGCCUAAACAAUGAAGUUAUUCAUGAAUAAGUUUAUAUUUUGGUGUAGUUAUGUGAGUAAUUACUUAUUUAUCAUGUGUUUACUUACUAAGCUAUAUGCUUACUCGAUUUUAUUUUUCCCUUGAUUAUAGUGACUUCCGACAACUCGGAAAUUUGGAACGAAGUCAGACAAUCAUCCACACUAUCCUUCACACUUGGGGUAUUUUGCUACUAUCGUUCCGGAAAAUUAUGGCAUGUAUAGACGACCUAUGAAAUAUGGAAUCAUCAUGUAAAUAUAUGUUAUGGUUUGAUUUAAAAUGUGGUGUUCAUUAAUAGUUAAAUUGUGAGUAUUAUUAUAAAUGAGUUUGGUUGAUAUAUAUAUUGGAUUGUGAUUUAAAUUUGCAGGAGGUUUAAGCAAAAUUAAGCAGAAAUGCUGUCGAAUUUUUUUUUAAAAAACUUAGUAAUACCUCAUACUCUGUUCCGAGCCGGAAUACGAGUAAGGGGUGUUACAUUUUAGUGGUAUCAGAGCUACGGUUUAGUCGGUUCUCGGACCAAUAAAAUAUGUGUGAAAGUCAGUCUAUACAUGCCAUCAAUAUAUUGUGAUAGUGUGAUGAUUUCUGACAAUUUAAAAUUUUGUUUUAUAUAGUAAAUGGAUCCUAAUCGAAGUAUGACAGAUGAUGUUGAAAGUAACACGCCGGUUCCCGCACAAGGGACCGCGCAUGAAGAGAGUAGACAUGAGACACAUGGACAGGAUGAGGCUCAAGAAGCCUUCCUCCGAAUGAUGAGUGAUUGGUAUACAGAAUAUGUCCGUGUAAAUCCGAAUGUUCCACCUCCUCCACCCCCUCCUAUUCCUCCGCCGGUCCCCGUAGCUCCACGAAGUGCUGAAUUGGUGAGAUCAAGUAAACCACCCGUUGAUAGAAUUCGAAAGCAUGGGGCUGAAGAUUUCAGGGCCAAUGUUGAUGAUGAUCCGGAAAAAGCCGAGUUUUGGCUUGAAAAUACUAUCCAGGUAUUUGAUGAAUUAUCUUGUACUCCUGAGGAAUGUUUGAAAUGUGCUGUGUCUUUAUUGAAGGAUUCGGCAUACCGUUGGUGGAAAACAUUAAUAACGGUGGUUCCAAAAGAAAGAGUUACUUGGGACUUCUUUCAGGAAGAAUUCAGAAAGAAAUAUGUAAGCCAACGGUUUAUUGAUCAGAAGCGCAAAGAGUUUCUCGGAUUGAAACAGGGCCGAAUGUCAGUAGCAGAAUAUGAACGGGAGUUUGUCCGGCUUAGUAAAUAUGCCCAGGAAUGUGUGCCUACGGAGGCUAUUAUGUGUAAAAGAUUUGAAGAGGGGCUAAAUGAAGACAUCAGAUUACAUGUUGGAAUUUUAGAGUUAAAAGAAUUUGUGGUAUUAGUUGAUCGUGCUUGCAAAGCUGAAGAGCUGAGUAGAGAAAAGAGAAGGGCAGAGAUGGAAGCUCGAGAUGUAAGGAAGAGGUCAAUGGGCAGAACAUUUCAAUCUCACCCGAAGAAGUUUAAAGGGAUGGAUCCACGACCAACCGGUUCAGUUGGGUAUUCACGCAGAGACCGAGGGAGGUCAUAUUCCGGAACUACAACUCGAGCUACCUCAGUGGCAAGUGUGGGUAAUGUAGGAAACACCAGACCUGAAUGUCAACAGUGUGGCAGGCGACAUACUGGUGAGUGUUGGGGAUUUAAACGAGCUUGUUUCAGAUGUGGUUCCCAAGAGCAUUAUGUAAAAGACUGCCCUGAGAGAAUAGAAGAAGAAAGAUUACAAAGAGCUGGAUCGGGUGAUGUUGUCAGUAGAGGCAGACCACCGAGAAAUGUGGGAAGCAAAGCCAGUGGUAAGAGUGUGAUAAAAGAUGCAGCUGGAGGAUCAGAAACUAGAGCGCCUGCCAGGACUUAUGCUAUACGCGCUCGAGAGGAUGCCUCAUCUCCCGAUGUGAUUACUGGUACAUUUUCUCUUCAUGAUAUUGAUGUUAUUGCUUUGAUUGAUCCCGGCUCUACUCAUUCAUAUAUAUGCAUGAAUUUGGUGUCUAGUAAGAAAUUGCCUGUUGAAAACACUGAAUUUGUAGUUAAAGUAUCAAAUCCUUUAGGCAAAUAUGUCUUAGUCGAUAAGGUUUGCAAGAAUUGUCCCCUGAUGAUUCAAGGUCACUGUUUCCCGGCUAAUUUGAUGUUGUUACCAUUUGAUGAGUUUGAUGUUAUUUUGGGGAUGGAUUGGUUGAUAUUGCAUGAUGCCAAGGUAAAUUGUAGACAGAAAAUUCUUGAAUUAAAUUGUGAAAACGGUGAAAUUCUCCGGGUUGAAACAAAGGAGCCGAAUAAGUUGCCUAUGGUGAUUUCGCACAUGUCUGCUCAGAAAUACUUGAGAAAGGGAUGUGAAGUUUAUCUUGCUUAUGUGCUGAACACGGAUAUUACUGGGUCGAAGCUUGAAUCAGUGCCGGUAGUUUGUGAAUUUCCAGAUGUAUUUCCAGAGGAAUUGCCUGGGUUACCUCCGAUUAGAGAAGUUGAGUUUUCUAUUGAUCUGUUACCUGGUACUGCACCGAUUUCUAUUGCACCGUAUCGAAUGGCUCCGACUGAGUUGAAGGAAUUAAAAGCUCAGUUACAAGAGUUGACAGAUAAAGGAUUUGUGAGACUGAGUUUUUCUCCUUGGGGUGCUCCUGUGUUAUUUGUGAAAAAAAAGGACGGCUCUAUGAGACUUUGUAUUGACUAUCGUCAGCUCAACAAGGUGACUAUAAAGAACAAGUAUCCUUUGCCGAGAAUUGAUGAUUUAUUUGAUCAAUUAAAAGGGGCAACAGUGUUUUCUAAGAUUGAUUUGAGGUCUGGUUACUAUCAGUUAAGAGUUAAAGAGUCUGAUGUGCCGAAAACCGCCUUUAGAACAAGGUAUGGACACUAUGAAUUUCUGGUAAUGCCUUUUGGGUUAACAAAUGCUCCAGCUAUUUUUAUGGACUUGAUGAACCGAAUUUUUCGGCCGUACUUGGAUAAGUUCGUGGUGGUGUUCAUAGAUGAUAUUUUAAUCUAUUCUCGGGAUGAAUCUGAGCAUGCAGAACAUUUAAGAACUGUGUUGCAGAUUCUGAGAGAAAAGAAAUUGUAUGCUAAAUUCAGCAAAAGUGAGUUUUGGCUUCGUGAGGUUGGAUUCUUGGGACAUAUAGUUUCAAGUGAAGGUAUUCGGGUUGAUCCAAGCAAAAUUUCAGCAAUUGUUGAUUGGGAGCCACCAAAGAAUGUGACAGAAGUUAGAAGCUUUCUGGGCUUAGCUGGGUAUUACAGACGCUUUGUCAAGGGAUUUUCGAUGAUUGCUUCUCCUAUGACUAAGUUACUGCAGAAGAAUGUCAAGUUUGAAUGGACCAAUAAAUGUCAACAGAGUUUUGAAAAGUUGAAGGCAUUAUUGACUGAGGCGCCAGUGUUGGUGCAACCUGAGUCCGGGAAGGAGUUUGUAAUUUACAGUGAUGCAUCGUUGAAUGGUCUUGGGUGUGUGUUAAUGCAAGAGGGCAAAGUAAUAGCUUAUGCUUCGAGACAAUUGAAACCGCAUGAGAAGAAUUAUCCGACGCAUGAUUUAGAAUUGGCUGCCAUUGUUUUUGCUUUAAAAAUUUGGCGUCAUUAUUUGUAUGGUGAAAAGUGCUGAAUCUUCACUGAUCAUAAGAGUUUGAAGUAUUUGAUGAGCCAAAAAGAUUUGAAUUUGCGGCAACGAAGAUGGCUCGAGCUAAUCAAAGACUAUGAGCUAGUGAUUGAUUAUCACCCCGGGAAAGCUAAUGUGGUUGCUGAUGCCUUGAGCAGAAAAUCUUUAUUUGCUUUGAGAGCUAUGGGUACGAUGUUAACUUUAUCUGAUGAUGGCUCAAUGUUGGUUGAAUUGAGAGCUAGACCAUUAUUUCUUCAGCAAAUUCGGGAAUCUCAAAAGAAUGACAGUAAAUUGCAAGCCAAGAGAGCUCAGUGUGAAGCAGGUGUUGACUCAGAUUUUCAAAUUGGUUCAGAUGAUUGCUUGAUGUUCCGGGAUAGAGUAUGUGUACCAAGAAAUGAUGAGUUAAUUCAGACCAUUUUAUGUGAGGCACAUAGUGGUGACUUGUCAGUUCAUCCGGGUAGUGUGAAAAUGUAUAAUGAUUUGAAGAAGUUGUAUUGGUGGCCAGGCAUGAAAAAGGAUAUCUCGGAAUUUGUAUCAAAGUGUUUAAUCUGUCAACAAGUGAAGGCUGAGCAUCAAGUACCAUCGGGUUUACUUCAACCGAUAACGAUUCCAGAGUGGAAGUGGGAUAGUAUUACGAUGGAUUUUGUGACAGGAUUGCCUUUAACUCCAAAGAAGAAAGAUGCUAUUUGGGUAAUUGUUGAUAGAUUGACAAAGUCGGCUCAUUUUAUUCCGAUACGCAUUGAUUACUCACUUGACAGGUUGGCAGAAUUAUAUGUUGCUAAAAUAGUGAGAUUACAUGGGGUGCCUAAAUCUAUUAUAUCGGAUAGAGAUCUGAGAUUUACUUCGAGGUUUUGGAUAAAGUUGCAGGAAGCCUUGGGUACAAAAUUGAAUUUCAGUACUGCGUUUCAUCCGCAAACUGACGGGCAAUCGGAAAGAGUGAUUCAAAUUCUUGAAGAUAUGCUCCGGUGUUGUAUUUUAGAAUUGAAAGGCAGUUGGGAGAAAUAUCUACCAUUGGUUGAAUUUGCUUAUAACAAUAGCUAUCAGUCAAGUAUACGAAUGGCACCGUAUGAAGCAUUAUAUGGGCGUAAGUGUAGAACUCCUUUAUAUUGGACUGAGCUCGGUGAGAACCGGAUUCAUGGAGUCGACUUGGUGAAAGAAACUGAAGAAAAGGUGAAAAUAAUUCGUGACUGUUUAAAGGCUGCCUCAGAUCGGCAAAAGUCGUAUGCGGAUUUAAAGAGAAAAGAAAUUGAGUUUCAAGUAGGUGAUAAGGUGUUCUUGAAGGUGUCUCCAUGGAAGAAGAUUCUGAGAUUUGGUCAUAAAGGCAAACUAAGUCCACGAUUUAUUGGACCAUAUGAAGUUACCGAGAGAGUUGGCCCUGUAGCAUAUCGGUUAGCUUUACCACCGGAGUUGGAAAAGAUACAUAAUGUGUUUCAUGUGUCGAUGUUGCGACGUUACCGUUCGGAUCCUUCACAUAUAGUUUCCCCUACAGAGAUUGAGGUCAGACCAGAUAUGACUUAUGAGGAAGAACCAAUAAAGAUUUUGGCUCGGGAAGUCAAGCAGUUAAGGAAUAAAAGUGUAUCCUUAGUAAAAGUACUAUGGCAAAAACAUGGGAUGGAGGAAGCUACGUGGGAACCGGAGGAAAUUAUGAGGAAACAGUACCCAAAUCUCUUUUCCGGUAAGAUUUUCGGGGACGAAAAUCCUUAAGGGGGGAGAGUUGUAACAGCCCGAUUUUAGACCUAGUCGGAAUAGUGGUUUCGGGACCACAAAUCCGACGAGGGAAAAUAUGGUUAUUAUUAUAUUUUUAUGGUCUACAAUUUCACGGAAAAUUUUCGUAAAAAUUUCGUUCGAAAAUUUCGACGUUUGGGCACUCAAUUUAGUCAAAAUGACUAAAUUGUAAAUAGUGCAAAAGUUGAGUUCUAUAUGUAGAAGUAUCUAAUUGAUAUGAAAUUUUAAAUUGGAGGUCUUUAUGUGGUAAUUAGACCAUUAGUUAGUUGAUGGACAAAAAUAGACAUAAGAAAUGAGAGAAAUAGAUUUUUUUAAGUGGGGGCAUAUUAGUCAUUUGGUAAUAAAAAAAUUAAAAUGGGAAAAAGAUGACAAAAAUCAUCAUCUUCCUCAUUAGUUGCUGCCGAAAUUUGAAGGAAGCCAUAGCUAAGGUUUCUUUGCUUUCUCAAGCUCAUAGUAAGUGCAUCCUAGCCCCGUUUUUAAUGUUCUUCGCAUUUUUGGAAUCCUCGUAACUCGGUUUAGCUUAUUCUAGCAAUAAUUCGUGUUAGGGCUCAUAUUUGGAAAAAUACCCAUAGGUGAAAUGUGUUUAUUUUGCUGUUUUAUGGUGGAAUAUGAAGCUAUAAAUUAUGUUAAACAACUUUUGCUAAGCGAUUUUAAGCGAAAACGGGUAAAUAGGCAUAAUCGGUAAAAAUAAUUAUUGUUCAUAAGUGUAUGUUAGAGUGAGAAUUUGAUGUUGCCAUAGAAGGGAAAAAUGUUCAGCAUGUCAUAAAACCUAAGAAUAAGUGAUGAAGUUUAAUUUCCGAGCUUGGGGACAAAAGUGUAAUUAUGCAAAAGUUUGGGGGCAAAAUUGUAAUUUUUCAAAAAGUUGGGUGGUGGAUUAUUUUAAUGAAUGUGAACAUUAAAUGAGUUAAAUUUGCUAUUAUAGAUCAAGAAAGACGUGAAGAUUAUCUCAAACGAGGAAAAGAAAAGAUAGUGGAGUGAAGUGCAAAAUUACGAUAUUUUGCACCGAGGUAAGUAAACACGUGACUUGAUGUAUUAUUUUGACAUUAAUUGAUAUAUGUUGAGAUUUAUUUGGAAUUAAAAUAAAUGUUUGGCCAUAUCCUAAAAAUGUUGUUAAAUCGGGAAAGGUGGUAAAGGGUUGCAAUAUAUGAUUUAUGGGUUGAACACUCGGAAUAAGCCGAAGUAUGUUGUACAUAAAGGGGUUGCUGUGUGCUGAUUCCCCGAUUCAUUGGUGGUGCUAUGUGCGAUAUCCACCGUAUCUUUGAAAUGUGAAAGGGGGUUGCUAUGUGCUGAUUCCCCCGAGGGGUUGCUAAGUGCUGAUUCCCCGGUUCAUUGGUGGUGCUAAGUGCGAUAUACACCGUAUCUCUGAAAUAAAAAGGGGGUUGCUAUGUGCUGAUUCCCCCAAGGGGUUGCUAAGUGCUGAUUCCCCGAUUAAGUGGUGGUGCUAAGUGCGAGAUCCACCAAUAACGGUCAACAUUCCGAGUGCUCAACGAAAAAGUGUGGAAGGUGAAUAUUGCCAUAUGGUGGAAAUUUUUAUGGGGCAAAUAUUGAGUUGGAUACUAAAUCGAUCCAUGUAUGAGAUGGGAGAAAAUAUCAAAAACGAAAAAAGGAACGAUUUAGUUAUAAACUGUGUUGAACAACAGCAGAUGGGUAACUUUGAAAAAUCACCAUAAAUGGUGGAAAAUGAAUGGGAAGCUGAAUAAUAUAUGAAAUUGAAGCUGAAUGUGUCUAUUUUCAUAUGAAAUAAAUAGAAUAAGCAAAAGAGUUGUAUUUUUCGAGAUAUCUGAAUUUUACUGAAACAGGGCUGGAUUGAUUUCGGGAUCCCCUGUUCUAACUUUGGAAAAUCACCAAAAAUUGUACAAAAAUAAUUAUGGUGUGAAAUUUAUAUUCCUGGAUUCCUUAUUGACUCUAUUUUUAAUAGAAACAAGCGAAACCAUUUUUAAAAUUUUGUACAGAGAGUUAAGUGAAUUUUUUUGAGGAAGGGUCAGAACCGUUGGGCAGUGAAACAGGGGAAGUUUUAAUGAAUAAACUGUACUAAUUGGCUGAGUAAAAAAUUCUGAAAUUUUUAUGGUGAAAUGGUAUAUGAGUCUAGUUUCAGGAAAAAUUUACGAAACUCAAUUUGGAGCCCUGUAGCUCCGGAUAAAAAUAAAUUAUCGACUAUGACGCAGAAAAAUAGUUUGCUGGAAAUUGCCUAAACAAUGAAGUUAUUCAUGAAUAAGUUUAUAUUUUGGUGUAGUUAUGUGAGUAAUUACUUAUUUAUCAUGUGUUUACUUACUAAGCUAUAUGCUUACUCGAUUUUAUUUUUCCCUUGAUUAUAGUGACUUCCGACAACUCGGAAAUUUGGAACGAAGUCAGACAAUCAUCCACACUAUCCUUCACACUUGGGGUAUUUUGCUACUAUCGUUCCGGAAAAUUAUGGCAUGUAUAGACGACCUAUGAAAUAUGGAAUCAUCAUGUAAAUAUAUGUUAUGGUUUGAUUUAAAAUGUGGUGUUCAUUAAUAGUUAAAUUGUGAGUAUUAUUAUAAAUGAGUUUGGUUGAUAUAUAUAUUGGAUUGUGAUUUAAAUUUGCAGGAGGUUUAAGCAAAAUUAAGCAGAAAUGCUGUCGAAUUUUUUUUUAAAAAACUUAGUAAUACCUCAUACUCUGUUCCGAGCCGGAAUACGAGUAAGGGGUGUUACAAGGGGUGUUACAUGAUAUUUACUUUAAUGGUUGUCGAUACUUUAUCUUGCAAAUAUGUUUGAAGAUAGCUUGAAUCCAACUUCAUCUUAGAGGAUUGAGUCUGCUUCAAGUGUUGUCGAGAUUUGAUAUUGAAAACAUGUUUUUUUCCUUUGUUGGUGCAAUCGGAUUGGGGAAAACGUUGAUCUAAAGGUCAUUUAGACAAACCUUAUUUGUGUUGGUGCAAUCGGAUUGGCGAGAACUUUGAUUCAAAGGUUGUUUAGACUUGAUAUUGGAUGGAAGAAUGAUUCUGCUUUUAGUGCUUUCUAAGCUUGAAAAAACAGGGUUGGUCUCCUUCUUGUUUUCUAUUAGUUGAACAACAUCAAAAAAACAACUUUGUUGGUAGACGACUUUUGACUUAUGGUAUAUGGGGAUGCCUGUUGAUGAAACUCGAGAGUGCACCAUGGGUGUAUUGAAAAAUGGUGAAACACAUUGUAAAUUACUAUUUUUCUUUUUUCACUUUAUAUGGGUAAAUUCUUAGCGAUUAUAGUCUUCCAUUUGGUAAUCAUUGUGCUUUCAUUUUGCACACAUAAAGCUAAACCAUAGUAUUAUAUAUAUAAUUUGUUGUUUACUGUUUGUCCCAUUCUGGGUAACUGUUAUUUUUAGGUAUUUUUCACUUGAUGAUUCAAUCAGUGUUGUGUACAGGUUUAAUGGAAUGUCUUGGUUCCUUUACUGGGCAGUCUAAGUUUAUAAUACUUAUAAAGGUUCAGUCCUCUAUUGGGUAUUUUUAGAUUUUUGCCUGGUCAUCUAAUUUGAGCCAUAAAACCUCAAACAAAAAAGCCCAUCUAGGCUGAUUAUAGACAUAAUAUCCAGUAAUAUAUAUUAUUACACAGCCUAAACCCUGGUCGUAUCCACACUGUAAUAUUACAAUUUACAUAUUACAGUUUCCAGUGUUCUUGGCAAUAAAUUUUAUAUUUUGAAAAUAUUUUUAAAAUGUGAAUAGUUUUUCCAAUGGUGAGAAGUUACCGUGGGUAGUUUAAUUAAGGAUUUGAUGGGUAAUUAUUUUUAUAUAAAUGAUAUAAUUUUUGUUAAAUAUAAAUAUUAUAUUAACAAAAAAUAUAUAAGUACAUUAAUAAAAAAAUAUUAAACUAGUCUUACAUUAUGUGUAUAUUUUAGAUUUAGUUUACAUUCUUUAACUAAAUCAUGAUAAAUUUUUAUAUUUUUUAAAAUUUAAAAUUUCAAUUUUUACAUAAUUUUUUUAUUAAUUUGCUUUUUAAUAUUCCACGUGUAAUAAUAUAUUUGUAAUAUUAUCGAGAAAUCUGAAAAUUUUAAAAAUUAAAAAUUAACCUGAACGAUGUUUAAGACUAACGUUAACCUCACUAGUAAUUCGACUCUGUUUAUAUUUCAUCAGGAAAAAGCUCUUCUUUGAGUGAAGGAGCAAUCCACUGUAUCUGAAUGUAUGUAAUAUCCCAUAGAUCAUCUUCCUCCUUACGUACCAAAAUCCCAGUUUCCCGCAUCUUCGUUAUCAUCUUCCUCAACAACUCCGGCACCACUUCCUGCAAUUUCGUUUCCCCAUAUUCUCCCAAAUCAGCUUUCAUGCACGUAUCCAUCCUUCUCAAUACCCCUAACCAAAACGUCCUAAACCCUGGAUUCUCCAUUAUCUGAUUCAAGUAUUGUAAAUACACAUCCGUCAGCAGCUCCAUUGACAGCUUUAAAGUCCCCUCCAUGCUUCUCGUUUCCCUCUCCGCGUUUUCCCGUCGAGAAUAUUCUAUCAUCUUUUCAUGUUGAUCAUCCACCAUAGCAAAUAUAACAAGAGUAAAGCAGUUUAUACAUCUUGAUGAAGAUAGUUCCAGGUCUUCAGCUAGUUUAAACCCUCUACGAAGGGCCAAUAUUGCAUGGUUUCUUAUCUCUUCUCGACGUGCUAAGCUGGUUUUCCUUAAGGCUUCACCUAGUUUAACAAAUAAACUCAUUAUAAAGUUGACGGAUUCUAUGCCUUUGGGGUUAUCCUCGCUUGAUGAAGUACUGGUAUUGCUUGAAAAGCUGUAACUGUUGGUUUGAUCAGAGGCGGUUGUAUACCAUUGGAUUAACAGCUUCACUGAGUCUGACAUUAGAUCGAGGAUCUUCAAGUUUUUCUCGAGAGGACUGUUUUUAAGAGCAACGAAACCAAAUGCACAAUCGAUACAGUAAGCAUAGUUUAUCUUUGAGAUAUGGAAGGCAUCGGACAUUAACAUGAUUAAAGCUUCCACUGCUUGAUCAUAGGUUUCUGGGUUUCGACCAGUGAUUGAAAGCAAAUGAAGAACCGAUUUCCAUCCUAGUUGUGUCUGCAAAUUUGCUGGGUAUUCUGUCAGAAUCUUGCUCACUGACUGUGUUAUGUACGCACAACAUGUGUCGAGGAUUUCUUUAUCUAAUUUCCACAUCAAAUUUAUGGACUUAAAAAUGAGUUCCUCGGGUGUUUCAUCGGCUUGGUAUGAAGCCAGAAGCUUGAGGCAGACUUUGAAAAGGCCAAUAAUGCCUUUUUCUGCAAAUGGGACAGGGGAAAAUAAAGGGAAUUGAGCAACUGCAAGUAAAUAAUCAUUGUAAGAAGGCCAAAAAACUGGGAACCUGUGAAGGUUGGCUAAAGAGAUGGCAAUGAUCAAAUCCCAGCAGAAUCCAACUGUUUCUUCUUCUUCAAUGGGUGUACUGAACUUUUGGCCUUUACCAGCUGCUGCAAAUAUCAAAGAACGCCCAAGGUUCAUCAAUGCCUCAACGGGUAACUGAAAGCUGUUGCCAAAUAUACUCCCGAUUUGGCAUUGUCUUAUAAUCUUCAAAUUUUGCUCAAACUCGCUCAUUCCCAGAGAUAUGGACUCUUCCAUGCUAUCUAGUGUUAGGAAAUGUGAGAAUCGACUAACCACACCAGCAGUGUUUUUAGAGAACUUAGAAUCAUGAUUGGGGAUUAUGACUCCGGAUUCGGAUUUUGAACCUUCUGGUGCAUCUGAUGACGAAGUGACGUCGAAUUCGAUGACCGAUUGAGGAAGUAGUCUAAGCCGUUUGAGUUUCAACAAGCAGUCGAUGAUGUUCCUCCAACCGCCUCGAAGCGACCUUCCAAAGUUGUUAGCUAUGGUGAAAAGCGCAAGUGUAGCCAUUCUUGGUUUCAUAUCAUUGCUGAACGCAAACAGGGUUUCUUCGGCCGAUGCAUACGGGUUCAAAAGCGUCGUAAAUUUACAAAAUGACGCGACAAGCUCGUCGAGCGUGUCGGCCAGCCCGUACUGAGCUAUCCUAGCUAAAGAGAUCAAACCUUCAAUACAUUCGUGUAGCAUUUCAUCUUCGUCUGCAUGUUCAAAGAACGCCGAAAGAGCUGCAAUCGUCGGGCCGGCAACGCAGGCAAACAAAUCUCUUCCCAAUCGACGAUCGAAAUCACAAAGGAUAUACGGUUGCAUUAGUUUAGCUCGGUUCAUCAACUCGAUCCAUCGGCUCGGGUUCAUCUCUACCGGACCAGAUUGACCGAAAAGCGUGAUCGCAUUAUUCGAAAUGGAAUGAAAGAGCUCAGACAGGUACUCUCUAGGAAGAUCUUGCCCACCAUUAAUUGCUCUAUUGUUCCUUAUAAACUCAUCUUCCGUCAUCUUCUUCUUCACUUGUGGAUUAUGUUGAUCUGUAUUAAGCAUAAUAAGAGAAUAACAAAGAAUAAACACCGAAUCUUUCGUCACAAAUAUUUCCGAUGAUUGUUGAUCAAAGAAUCUCUCCGAGAAAGCUUCGAGUAUUCUCUGAAUCUUCUGUGACUCUCCGGGGAGUCUGAACGUUUCAAGAUAAGUUCGUAAAGCAGAAUCGAGAAUCAUGCCAUGAAAUUCAAAAGUUGCAGUGAAUUCUUUAAGAACUUGAAUGUGAAGUUCAUCAGGGUCACCCAGAUAAUCACCGAUCAUGUUCUUAUCCAGCCCCGGAGUGUAUCGGAAAAAAAAGGCAAAAGCUUUAGGAUUCGGUGGAUCAGAAACCAAUUGGCAAUGUUUCAGAUACUCCAAUCCUUUCUUUUCAUCUCGACUGAAAUGACUAGCAGCAAUUAAAAUCUUCCUUUUUUGAGCUUUCCUUACACGUAUAUAUUCCACCCAAGUUUCUAAAUCAUCCUUGGGUUUCUCUACCCAAAAGGGUCUGUAUUCUUUAAUUUCAAUAGGAUAUGGAUCUGAUGGGGUUGAAUCUUCUUCUUUAUCGAUGUUUGUAGAAAUGCUAUGAAUCAUAAUAAUCAAUCCUUCGAAAGCUUGGACUUGUAAUGUCGAGGUUGGACCGUUCCCUGGAAAGGCUUGCUUGCAUAGCAACUUCCCUACAUCUUCGAAAAUGUUUCUGCAAACCGGAUCACAAUCGUAAUUUACAUAAGCUUCGAUUACAAACGUUGGUUGCCUGAAAAAAUUUAUAAUUGCUUCCAAUGCCACUUCCUGGAGCUGCAAAGAAACUCCUGGUGCGGCGAUUCUCAACAAUACAAACGAAAAGAAAGCCUCUAAUUGAAGACGUAUGAACCUGCAAAAAGGUAAAAAAGUAACAAUUAUUUUUAUUAUAAUUUGAUAUAAUGUAAAAUUUAAUUUUCAAUGUUUACAUAUUUGAUUAAAUCAGUAAAAUUUAACCUUUAAUCUUAAAAAAAUUUUGAAUUCUUUCUCGUUUUCUAAUAAAAAUACAUUAAAAUUUUAAAUAUGACAACUUGACCUUCAUUUUUUUAUUACUAUUUAUAAAUUUUAUAUUAGUUGAUAAAUAAUGUAAUAUAAAUAUGAAAUACAUAUUAACCAAGGAUUAACAAAGCUAACAUCAUUCCAUGGAAAAAGAAAUAAAACCUGCGAAGAAAGUGAUAGAUAUUCAAGACGGUGCUGCAAAUCAUGGAAAGAACGAGUGGGGUUGAACAAGUCCCGUAAUGGAUCAAAUGGUGAAAUAAAUCAUCUUGUACCAUCCUCAAAAGCUUUGGGUGUUUCCCAAUUUCAUCACCGCUUAAUUCUAUAGCACAGUUUAUCAAAACCAAUGCGAAAAGUUGAACAUCUUCAUCGGCUGUGUGACAAAUUGGUCCUUCAGUAUUGUCCGCAACUUCAACUACAUUCAACAACGAACAUAAGAACUGGAAAAUAUCUACGGCGCAACGUAUUCCGUACCCCGAGUUUUCAUCGAUGUCGUCGGUAUCAGAUUCCGAGCUCUCCCCUUCGUUAACGUCGACAUCGGGCAAUCGCGAAAAGAUGAUCUGAAUCAACUCGUGCAUGGUAUGCCUUGCCGUGCGUUGAAGCAGAUCUCCCCUGGUUACUGAUUGUUGAACGACCUGAAAACAUGUAUUCACAAUGGUACAAACAGCCUGAUCGGUGAGCAAAACCGAUGCAUUGUGUCUCAUCGUCGCUGUUAAAACCUGUAAAAUUUUCAUCAUUACAGCGUCUUCUGAAACAGGGUCUGUUUGUUCCAAGCGGCAGCUGGUGAUCCCUGUAACGACGAUGUUAAUAGCGUCUUUGGCUCCUGGGGUUUUCUCAUCGAAGAUACCGAGUUUAAGAAUCUUCAAAAUAGCUGAAAGAGUAACCCCGGUGGCUGCUGCUGGGAUACCAUCGCUUUGAACAACGUCAAGGAAAGGGGAGAGAUAAAUGCAAGGAUCAAUGGUUCGCCAUUCUUGAUGAGGAUUGAAGAUGAAACCCCUUAAUGAUUUCAAGGAUUGUUGGAGCGAAGAGUCAAAAUAAUCUUCUUGGGGUGAAAUGAAUUGAGAUGUGGGAUCGAUCGGCCGCCGUAUCACGGCUAGAACUGCCCCUACCUCGGUGUUCAACAUGCAAGAGAGUCCCAGCUCUUUCCUCUUCGAUUUCAGCAUUUCUUUCUUCUUAUAAAAAAAAUGCCUAGGAAUCUUAGUUUUUUUUUUCAUGCAUGGAAUAAUAAUAUUAGGGUGUGGGAGUCGAGUGUUUUUUUUUCCUCGUGUGAUUAGUGAGAAAAACAGUAAUUAAAUGUAAUUAACGUGAAUGUGAAAGAAAGAAAAUCAUAUCUCCAAAAAAAUUGGAAGAAAGGUAGGCGGAUUGUUUGCUAAACUUGAGGUUAAUUAAAUACUUUGUUAAUUAACCGUCUUUAGUAAAUUUAUAUGGUUAAGGGUGAAUAUUUGAAGACUUCUACCACUAAUAUCUCCUCCAUUUGUUCAGUUUUAUUGACUUAAAAUUGUUUUUUUGUUUUUUUUUUUUUGAGAGAAUUAUAAGAUGUAAUAGAUUGGACCCCAAAAAAAUUACAUUGAUUAACCAUUCGCUGGCAUUCUAGACCAUUUAUUAUGGAAAUCAAAUCAGAAUGUCACAAACCAGAUUAUAUUAUUGGUGGAUUGCUAUAAAACCAGCUCCGGUGUUCAUAAUCACUCUGCUUAUUUAGUGCCAGGGAGAAUCAUGAAUGGGAGUAACAAUGGACUUGAUUUGCAGAUACUGGUUAAGGGCAUCCAAACCAAAUUCCCUUCCAAAGCCACUCAUCUUAUAUCCACCAUAAGGGCAAUCCACAUCAAAUGCUGUGUAACAAUUGAGCCAUAUAAUCCCCGCUCUGAUGGAUCUUGACACCGUGUUCGCCACGUUCAAGUUCUUGGUUAUUACCCCUGCUGCUAGCCCAUAUGUUGUGUUGUUUGCUCUCUUUAUUGCUUCUUCCAUUGUUCUGAAAAUUAAUCAAACCACUCAAUAAUUUGAAAACUCCCAACAACAAACAAUAGGAAAGGAAAGAAAAUUUACUUGAAUUUCAUCAAUGACAUCACAGGGCCAAAAAUUUCUUCUUUUGCUAUAGUCAUGUCCUCCUGUUUGUGUGCACAAACAAAAUUUACUCAAUUGUUAAAGCAAACUUCCAAAAAGUAAAUCUAUUAUAAAAAUUGGAUUAAAUUAAUUUUUUUUAUUAUUAAAUGAAUCAAAUCUAAUUUUGCAUUAUUAAAAAAAUAAAGUUAAUCCCGUCCCUGUAAUAUAAUAUAGGUACCUCAAUAGCAUAGUUAUUUUCUAAGGAAUUCACCUUAACAUCAGUAAAUAUCGCAGGCUCAAUGUAGAAUCCCUUGCUGCCCAGCCGCUUGCCCCCUGUUAACAACGUAGCUCCUUCUCUUUUUCCAUGCUCAAUGUAUGAGAGAAUUUUCUCGAAUUGCUUCUUAUCGGUCUAUGUCAUUUGGUCAAACAUUGCGUUAAUUAAAGGAACUAGAAUACAUAUAUAAAAAUAAGGUUAAAAUAUAUCAUAAGUACUUGUACUCUUUAUAAAUUUAAAAUUUAGUCCUUAUACUUUUAUUUUUAAUAAUUUAGUCCCUUUAAUUUUUAGAUUUUAAAAUUUAAGUUCAUUACAAUGUUAUUUUUUAGUUACAUUGCUGCAAAGUGAUUUUUUUUUAACUUUAAAAUGUCAUACCAACCAAUAUAACAAAAAAAUAUAAUUGUAUCAAUAAUUGAACACGAAUUUUGAUAUCUGAAAAGUAAAAGGGAUUAAAUUCAUGAAAAUAAAAGUACAGAAACUAAAUUUAAAUUUCAAAUGUGUGAAAAAUAUAGAAAUUUAUGACAUAUUUUAACUUAAAAAUAAUAGUAUAACUUAUCCAUUAUCAUUCUUACUUGGGGUCCUUGAUUAACUCGAGGAUCAAAAGGAUCUCCAAUCACCCAUGCAUUUGCCUUCUCUACCAACUUUUUUACAAAAGUUUGAUAAAUUCCUUCUUGAACAUAAACACGAGAGCUUGCAACACAAAUUUCCCCCUAUGAAAUUUAGAAAAAAUGAGAAAAAUUAGGCUGAUAAUGACAUGCAAUAAGAGCAACCCCCACACACACACGCUUACUUUGUUGUAAAAGAUGGCAUUGAAAGCAAUAUUUACAGCCUGAUCAAUAUCAGCAUCUUCAAAUAUUAAUAGAGGUGAUUUUCCACCCAACUCCAAUGACACUGGUUUCAGAUUGCUUGCUGCUGCUGCUGCCAUUAUCUUACGUCCAACUUCAGUAGACCCCGUAAAAGUCACCUACAAAACCCACCGAACAUAACAAUAUUUCUUCAUAAAUGUGUGUUUAGUUAAGUUUCUCAUCCUAAACAUGAAACUAAAGUCUCACUUUAUCAAUGUCCAUAUGAGAGCUAAUGGCAGCUCCCGCAGUCUCUCCAAAUCCAUUUACAACAUUCAGCACUCCGUCAGGGAGGCCAGCCUGAAAUCAAUAAAAAACCAUUUAAUCAUUUUAAAAGGGUUUUAAACGAAUUAUCUAAAGCUUAAUUACCAGUUUAGCGAGAUAAGCAUAAUAAAGAGCCGAGAGAGGAGUCUGCUCAGCAGGUUUGACGACCAUGCUGCAGCCUGCGGCUAAUGCCGGGCCAGCUUUCAUGAAAAACAUGAUAGCGGGAAAGUUCCAGGGAAUUAUACUUCCGACUACUCCAAUGGGUUCCCUCAGAGUGUAGCCCUGAAAUCCUUUGGACAAUUUUAACACUGUUCCAUGGAUUUUAUCGGCUGCACCUGCAUAGUAACGAAGAUUCCUUGCUGCACCUGGGAUGUCCAUGGCCUUACAAUGAGAGAACAGCUUGCCCCCAUUGAUGGCAUCCAGUGCGGCUAAUUCUUCUACGUUUUUUUCAAUUAGAUCAGCGAACUUCAUCAUGAUCAUGCCCCGCUCCUGAUAUCCAAUUUAAGGGAAAUUUUUCAAAAGAAGAAUAUGCCAAGUAAAGAAGUAUAGCAAGCAAAAUGGCAAUAUUUAGCCUUCCUUCUUUUGGCAUAAGAAUUUGUAUAUAUAUAUUAUUAUUCUCUUGGUAAAUAAAGAGGCUAAGCCUUAAACAGCAGUUAAUCAAAUUGAUUAAGUAGAAUGAAUUUAAACAGUCUAGUAGUGAUUUAAUUAACAUGCAUGAAUAUAUUUAUUUAAAAUGCGUGAAUGUAAUAGAUUAUAUUAAAAUACAUGUAUAAUAUGAUCGAUGUGAGUGAACAAAUAAAAGAAAAUUUUCAUUCCAUUACCAUCUCUAAAUUCUAUCCAACAGCUUCCAACAAUAUAUUUUGAUUUUUUUAUUCAUAUAUUUUGAAUCUUUGAUGCAUACAUAAUUACCCUUCCUUUAUGAACAACUAUACCUACGCAACUUAAUGCAGUAUUUAGACAAUAACAUAUCACAAGUAAAAUUUACAGUUACAGUUAAACAAAUUUCAUUAAAAUACAUAAUAACGACACGUUCAUCAUGAAAGGUAACAUUAAUCAUCGAAAUAAUUAAAUAAAUUAAUAAAACCGACACCAUAUCCAACUAAUUAAUUCAAGAAACUCAUAUAAAGAUAUGAAAAUGAAGUUGAAUAUGUUA